This 53679-nucleotide long non-coding RNA is filed under the name Panicum hallii. Its description in RNAcentral is "long non-coding RNA (PHAL_LNC000011)". Lineage: Eukaryota; Viridiplantae; Streptophyta; Magnoliopsida; Poales; Poaceae. The record is from RNAcentral.
GUUGCCAGCAGCCGCACUUGUUCGCUUGCUUGAAUAUCUGCGUCCAUCGUUCUUCAGUUGCUUGAUCUUUAUGAACUUUCCUGAACUUCCAGUCCCCCCCUCCCCCUCUUUUCCGCAGGAGGUUAUCAGGCCCUGUUCUUGAUUUGUGUUCUGCUCUCCUGUUGAUUGUUGGGGUUCCUACAUUCUCGAUUUGACCCGUAUUUGUUUGUUUUGUGCUAUUUCCCCCUAAUCGCUGGUUUUUUUAUUGAUUGAGCAGCAAGCAUGCAGUCAAGUGCACCCGGACUCGGCUGGAUCUGCUCCGGCGGAAGAAGCAAGCCAUGGUGAAGUUCCUCAAGAAGGACGUUGCUGACCUCCUCUUCAACGGCCUUGAAUCGCACGCCUUCGCACGGGUACUGUCUGCACUCUCAAGGCUUCGACCUGAAUAGUUCAGUGGUCUUGGAUGGAUUUAGCUUUGGUGCGAAUUUGACAAAACAGAAAUAUUUCUCGAAGUGCCGAUGCAGUUGAAAAUUAGUGCUUUGCACGGAGAAAUUUGUGAUGAAAUGCAGGAUCAUGUGAGGGUUCCUGUUGUGAUAUGUUCCUAAUUGCUGUUAUUUGUUUCCCCUGGACUACAGAUGGAAGGGCUGAUUGUUGAGAUGAAUCAAGCAUCUUGCUAUGAUAUGAUAGAGCAGUACUGUGAAUAUAUUGUGAAGCAGCUCAACAACCUGCAGAAAGAGAGGUAAUUGUCACCCUUGUCGCACUCAUCAGUGAUGCACCAAAUUCAUCCUGCUAACAUCUGUUUUACAUCGUUUGAUGUUAUGCACAUGUGCUCUGCAUUUGUUUCUGUUCUUGCUAGGAAGAAAAUUGGAAACAUUAUCAUUUCUUCCAACUUUAAUUGUAAUAUCUUGGAUUUCUAGUCUGCUGUAGCUGAUUAAGAUGGCUUAGACAUCAUCCCUUUUGAACAUUCAGUUAGACUAUGACAACUUUGGUCUAUGAAGUCCUAGCUUAUCUGGAUUGUUUGGUGAUAACUGCUUUACUGUAUAGCUAUUGUUCGAUUGCCUUGUUUAUUCAUACUCAAGGCAUGCCAUACUCCUGUUGUUAUGCAUGUGUCUCAUCAAGAUUGAAAAUUUUAAUACUGAAAGCUCAGUCAAGGUAGUUAAUCAUUGACUUGAUGUUUGCCUUUCUGGUUUAACAGUUUGCAUAGUAUUCCCAAGGUUAUAGAAGAUAUGAAAAUCUCAAAGCUACAUAUUCGCCAUCGUUCAUAGCUGGAAUUGAAACUAUUCUCUUUUGGUUGUGCUAUAUGAAUGAAGUGUGUGUCACUAUCAAAAGAUCUUGUUCUUUCAUCAUUAUUUAAGAUUACAAUAAGACUUUCUUCCUUCUCCAAUUUUCACUGAAUCUGUGAUGUCCUUCAACAGUGAAUGCCCUCAGGAAGCCUUGGAAGCUGUGUCUACUCUGAUAUUUUCUGCUGCUAGAUUUCCUGAUUUGCCUGAACUGUGUGACCUCAGACAUAUAUUCACGGAGAGAUAUGGGAGUUCGGUUGAGCCUUUUGUUAAUUCUGAGGUGCUUAAAAUUCUUUUUCUUUCUUAUGUGUGAGUUGAUCUCCAUCAUUUGGAACAUAUCAAUUAACUUAACCUUUGUGUUAACAGUUUGUCCAGAAGCUUCAGAAUAAAUCAUUUACUAAUGAAGAGAAGUUGCAAGUGAUGAAAUCCAUUGCUGAAGAAUUCUCCGUUCCAUUUGAUAGCAAGGCACUGGAAUGGAAGAUAACUUGUGGACCUCAAAAUAAGCAUGUAUGAUCUUAGUUAACUUCUUUGCAUUAUGUAAAUAUAUGCUCUCCUUUUUAUUAACUACUCAGCCUAUGGGGUCAUUCAAUUCUAUUUUUGACAUUCUUUUUUUCAUCAGGAUCUUCCGAAGAAGAGUUCAGUUAAACGGGAGGUAGAAGCAUCAGCACGAAAUGGACACAAGGUUGAUAGGCAUGCUGUGAAUGAAAGAAAAUCUAACCCUGUGGCUGAAAACUAUGGACAGAAGCAGGAAAUGAAGACAAAGCCCAAAGAUAUCCAUGUCAUUCCUGAUGGAAUUGGUCAGUUAGGUGAGAAAAGCAGGAAGAACUACUCAGAUAAACCUAGUGAAAAAAGGCACAUGGAUAAUUCUUUGCCUCCUUUGGACGUGAAAGAAAGGAAUGGCCAGAAAGAAAUGAAGAAAUAUGAGAAAAAGGAUGAUCACCUUCGAAGGGAACUAAGGAAUGCAGAGGAGUUGGACCUCAAUGGCUUAAAGAAACAGGAUGGUGGUUUAGUGAAACCUCCCAGUGGCACUGAGCAUAGUUGGGGACAUGCUGACUUAGGGCUUAAAACUCUGGGCCUAGAAAAACAUGAAAUUGAUUCAAGUUGCACCUUGAAUGGUAAAACAGUGAAUAAGGCUCCUCCUUAUUCUAAGCCCUACAGAGCAACAGGUGAGAUGUCCGCUGAAGGAAAUUCUAACAGUUUGUAUGAUAGACGAAAGCAUGAAGGAGAGUUUGGACAGUCGAUGCGAGAUAGGCAGCAUGUGCCAGAGAAGGCAGCCAGUAUGCGGCCUCCUUAUGUUAAGCCAAAAUUUGAAAAGCAUACUGGUGCUGAAGAAAUAGGCCACCCGAAGGGUGAACCGGUUUAUGAUCCUGUUUCCGUCAGAAGCAGGCAUGCAAAACCACCUGCACAUGCUGAUGAUUAUGCCAGAAUGGCUUAUGAGGAAAAGAUGGCAGACCAAGCACCUGAUGGCCGAAGAAGACAUUCAAGCAGGAGGAAUGGUGCCUAUGACGAUUAUGACCAGAAAGUUGGUCAUGUGCUACCCCUAGAAGUCAUGGGGGGCAAUGAUGAUAUCAACAAUGCGAGACCUUUUCACCGAAUCCCUAGUGAGCGAAGAAAGCACAGAAGCAGGCGUCAUGGAUCAACAAGUGGCAGCGACUACAAUGGGGCCAUUGAUGACCACGAGUCAGAUGAGGACGAGGCGAACACCGCAAUUGAUUUUGGCAAUCUUCUGCCCCGAGCCCCUAGUUCACACAGGAAGCACAGGAGUCGGAGUGCUGAUCCCCGCAAGGGAGGCCGUGACGAUGAAGAAAGGAUGAUGGAUAAGCUCCUCAUGCAUUACAGCAAGAAAGGUCUAGACAGGGAGGAGCGCAAAGAAAGAGUAAAAUCUCGUAUCCCCCGGCCUCGAGCUGACCGACCUGCUGAUGGUGCUGCAGAACUAUCUAACAAAGAAGGGGUGUCUGCAAACCGCCCUGAAAGAGCUCUAUCUCUACCUUCAGAAUCUGCAAGCCCAAAGGCGAAGCCAAAGGCCCCUGUUCGGUCCAUGUCCAUGCAGCCAGAAAUUUCUAGAGGGAAUGUGCACCCACCGGAUUUCGACGAACUGGCUGCACGGAUCAGCGCGCUGAGGAACACCUGAGCUGCCACGAUACUGUCUUCAGCAUGGCCUCUAUUCGCUCAGGAACUUAUAUCAUAGCAUCUGAGAGCUGAUGGUGCCUGGGGUCACUGGAUUGAGAAGAGGACAUUUGAAAUGUGGUUGCCUCCUAUUUUUUGCAACAUUUUCUCAUGGUAGUAUACUUGUUUGUGUUGCUCUGAGUGUAAUCUUGGUAGAGCAUUGGCAGGAAAGUUAAAAAUGGCAAUUCAUAGGAUACCAUACCUUACUACAUUGAUUUGGAUGUGGUUGUUUGUUGUACUCAUAGAACAAUUGUUGUCGCUGUACAGAUGCCAUUGAUGAGGCUAUAGUGAUAAAGUGAUUUUCUACAUCACCGUUGAGUGCUUCCUCCAUUUUACAAUAUUUUUACAACCUCACUGUCAGCAUACACUGGAGAAGAUUAGGCAUUUCUAUCAAGAUACCAUAAUAAUUGAUCUAAUGACUAAUUAUACUUAGCUGCCAACCGUAUAGGAUUGUCAGUUUUGUCUGACGGACCACCCAUCAUCAUCUGGAGCCAUUUUCUUCAGCAAAAUUAGGCAGCAUGGUUGCCGGAUUUCUUAUUUCUCCUAGGAUACGAAGACCAUGUGACGGUUGCCGCACAAAACGGUGCCGACGUCGAUAGGCUCUGGUAGCAGAGCUGCCUAAUAAUUCUGCGCACGUUCCUCUGGAUUCCUGAUCAAUCAUCACUGCUACCUAGUAGUAUUCUAUUUUUUUCUUGGAUCUUCAAAACAAUAUUCUAGUAGUUGUACUAAAUUGUCAACAGAAACAACUACCACUCUUAUUUCCAUUUCGCCCGUCUAGACAUAAAAGUGGGACAAAUUUUCAUGCUAUUCUUUAGUUCCUCUGUCAUUUUGAGUCAAAACAACUGACGAACGCUUGCCAAACUGCUCUAUCAUCUCAUCAGUUUGUCAAAAGAAAACGGCAAAUCUAAGUCAGUAGUGGGUGGCGGCUUGGACUCAGGCCGUGCACAGGACUGCAGGUGCAGCUAGCAGGCUAGCCCAAGGACCUCAUGACACCGACGACGAAAUGCAGGAUGCAAUCGUCGCCGCCGCCGUCGAGUAUGUCGUCGCAGACCAGCCGCUCCAGCGCGGGGUCCCUCGGCAGCGCCCCGGCGUGGUACAGCACCGUCGCCGCCGUCGCCGUCACCGGCCGCGUCGCCACGCAGGCCGCCAGCCUCGCGAACGCCCGGAGGAACAGCGGCAGGAGGCCCUGCACGCGCGCACGCGUUAGCUGACGGUUGCUCUCCAUUCGCGCAGCGUGCUCCUGCGCAAAAAUGCAGUGAAAACCACGUGCUCACCAUGGGAGAUCACGGCCGAUCAAAUGUGCUCGACGAUGCAGCAGCAUGCGCGUGAGACCUGAAGCCUGAAGGGUUGGUUAGUGCGUUGCUGAUGUUUAUAUAUAUACAAAUCGGUAGCAUCGGAACCAUCUGCUGGGAGGUUUGGAGUUGCAAACGGUUGGCGGUGGCAACGACGGGCGCCCAUUGUCGCCUUCGGUGCCGGCCGUUGCUCGCUUGUCUCGGCACUGUGCUCUCUCCAGUCCAGCUCUCGGUUUUGGACUCGGCUGCUUCCUCAUAUUCUUUGCCUCUGCGUCCUGCUUUCCUUGCGUGCCUUUCUCCUCGCCAGGGUCGCAAAGCCGCCCAACGAUGACAGCGACCGGGGUUGUUGGCAUCGCUCGAGCCUGGCAGCAGGAAAGCCCUGGUCAGUUCUUCCAGAUGAAGAAGUUCAAGACCGGUGAAAUCUCAUCUUGUGCUAUAGCUUGUGAGACUAUGAUCCCCUCUCCUGAGUUUUCUUCCACGAAGGGCCUCGGAUGGAUCCUUGAUUCCUUGAUACACUACACAAGGUAUUGCUGCAGUUAGCUGCGAUGAAGGUUCCAGUGUGCCAUUAUCGAAGAGGUUUCCAAUACUAUACAUAUAUUCAAUGCAUAAAUACAAGGUGUAGUAUAGCACGAAUUUAUUUUCUGCUAAUGUUGCAUAUGUAUAUACCUGAGAUAGUAUAUGAAUAUAUGACCACCUAUACUACAUAUGUUCAUAUGUUCCAAAAAUUGUUUUAAAAACCAGGAAGUUUAGUUAUUCACCACCUUAACCCUUGGUGUCUCAUGAAACGUAAGAAAUCAAGUGACGCCUACCCUUAACUUUUUGCAAGGCGGCAGGAAUUAAUUCCCUGCUAACAAUGCAUAUAUACAUUCUAUGACUGACAAGGAUUAAUUUCCUGCAAGAAUGUGGUGAAGACUGCAGUAUGGCAGGAAUUAAUUCCCUGCUAACAAUCCAAACACGCUAGGUGCAGUAUAGCACGAAUUAAUUCCUCCCUAAGAUGCAUGCGUAGCAGAUAUUGCCUGAUUUAACGCGUCAUCCAUGAGAACGCCAAGCGUCCCCCUCUGAAUCUCUCUCGAGCAUUGCCUACAAAUAGGCACACUCGGUGACACCAAUCAACACCAGCUCUCUUCUUCCUCACCAUCAAGUGGUUUGAGGCCAUGCCUCGCAACGCCUCGGCGAUGUCGUCCAUCCUCCUGAUUGUGCUGCUCUUGGGCCUUGGUAAGCAUGGAUGAUAGUCAAGGACGAUCCAGCAAUUCAGCAGCUCAAGCACCUCACCAAAUGAUCAAACAAUAAUCUGACCAUACUAAUGCUAGCAAAUUCUUCAGUCUGACUGCUAUGUUGUUCUUCGUGUAUGCAGGUGGCCACACUAAUGCUAGCAAAUUCUCGACGCUGCACUACGAUGUCCAGCAACCGGGAGCUGACGAAAGCCCUCGUGAGGAGCACCUUCAAGAAAAACUUGCAACCAUCAUGUCAUACAAUCUUGACUGGGCCUGCCUUCCCAAUGAUCCUUCCAACCCAAAGUGCCGCGCGAGCAAGUUUUCCUGGCCUGAGCUGGUGGGGAGGAAGGGCAGGGAAGCAAAAGCUGUGAUUCAGAGGGAGAAUCCUUCUGUCGAUGCUGUGGUUUACGCCCCGCAAGACGCCAUUGUUACGGACAAGUACUGCUGCAAUCGUGUUAGGCUCGUCAUGAACUGUGAUGCUGGCUGCGACUAUGAAAAUGCUACGGUGUUCCAAAUCCCAAUUGUUGGGUGAUGAGCAGGUUAUUUUGUUGUUGGGGGGUUGCAAGUGCAUAUGCAUCCUCUUUUUAACUGCUGCCACAGCGAGCAUUCUCCAUUGUGCAAAAAAAGAAAAAAAAAGGAACCACCUGAAAAGUCUUGGAUUUUAGAAAAUGCCCCAAAGAACAAGUUGUGUACAAGAGAUGCAAUGGAGGCAUUUUACUUGUCAAGGAGCAAAAUGAUGAAGGAAUUCAAGAUGAGAGUUUAUCAUGGCGUAUGUCAAGAAUAUAUUGCAGCAGGUUGGCACGGCUGAUUCCAAGCUUACUCGAUAUAGAAUUUAGGCAUUGGAAGAUCUAAAAACCACGUAAAAGUUGUUCUAAAAAUUAGGAAAACUAAUUCACCCCCUCAACCUUUGGUGUCUUAUGAAACUUGAGAGCACUUUGUUGGCAGUUGCACGCAGUGCAUGACAUGGGCUGGACCGCACGGCUCAGGUGCCUGCGUAACGGCCCAGUCCAGCUACUUAGAGCCUUCCUUACCUGCUUCCUGUUCGCUCUCCACGCGCGUACGCCGCCGACACACGACAAAACGAGGCAUAAUCAUCGUGCGUGGAAUCCGAGCCAGAAACCUAAACGAACACCUGAUCCAAGAUUCCAAGGGUUCUAGUCGCCUACUCCGCACGUCCUUGGCUGUAUAUAUACGAAGCAGACAUGCAAACCCUCUGGCCCCUCCCGUACGUCGCCACUGGAUCACGUACGCCUUUUCGAUCGAGCAAGCUCUUGGUCGUCGACGACGACGAUCGCCAUGGCGGGCGGGAGGCAGGGCGGCAAGCAGAAGCCUCUCAAGGCCCCCAAGGCUCCCAAGAAGAAGCCGCAUGCAGACUGAUCUGGAGAACCAGAAGAAGAAGAAAGAGGACGAGAAGGCCCUCAAGGAGCUGAGGGCCAAGGCGGCGCAGAAGGGCCCGCUCGGAGGCGCCGGGCUCAAGAAGAGCAGCGGCAUAAAAAUAAUUCUGAAGACUAGUGUAUGUCUUAUUUCUGUUUUCAUCAGAAGAUAGAAAGAAAGAGACAUGCAUGGUGCCUCAAUUUUGUGCUGGUCUUGAUCUUGCUGGUGUAGAAUCUCGUAGAUUACCUGUCCUGAUUCUGAAAUUUUCUUCAGUUUCGUAUGCCUCGUGUGGUUUGUAUGAAGUUGGGAACGAUACAGCAAUUCGCUUAGAGACCGUUAUUUUUAGGUGGUGUUUGGAUCCAAAUGCUAAUGGCUAAAAGUGUUAAAGUUUAGCACUAGUCCAUCUAAACAGGAGUGCUAAUAUGAUAAUCUAAACUUUAGCCAAGAUUGAAAAUUUAAGAAAAGAUAUUCAAAUACUAAUAUGUGCUAGAAUCUAGCACUCAACUUUAGCUUAUCCAAACAGGCUUUUAAUCCUCCUCUCUAGUGUUGGUAUCGCAAAGAGGACAGUAAUAAGGUAUUAGCAUCCGGAACAUUGCAAAGGUAACAAAUCCGGCUCGUGUAGACCAGCUAGCUAUGACGCUGCCGGCCGCUACUGUUGCUAGCCAACGACCUCCUUGCUACGAGGCAGCUGGAAUCGCCUACUUCUGCACGAGCAUAUGGCGGACCGAGAGAUUGAAAGCAGCCCGGGCGAAGCGCAGGUAACUCUUUCUUCUCAUAUCUGGCAGAGCAGAUGGGCAAAAGAUUCUAUGGUUAGCCUCUGGAUACAGAGGCAUCGGAGCCCGGGCGCCCUGGGUCCGCCGCAUACGAGCAUGUCUGCCAAGCAUACCAUGUCCGCCACACUCGAGUGUCUCCAUUGUCUAUGGGAGUGAGGAGGCCACACGCAAAAACUUGCGUCGCUCCUGGCAUUUUCACUUGUCCUGUGAAAAAGAAGUGGAGCUCGAAAAGGGGCUCUAAGCAACACGCAUCAAGCAUAAGGAUAAAGCAGUCUUGAAUCGAUAAACAAUCUUUCAAAUGCUUUCUAGUUCCGAACCAAGUAUAUCACGUUCCGCAGUGAACAUCGCAGGUGGCCAAAGCAGAUGCUCACUAUAACAAAAUGACAGAAUUGCUAUUUCUGGAUCUAUGCUGCAAAGCGUGCACGCAAUCUGCUGCGAUAAACUGCCUCGAGAUUCAAAUAUCCUAAACCUCAGAAACGAACAUGCAGCAGCUAGCGACCCACAUGAUCUUAUGCGUCAGUUGGUCUUUGUUGACUCGGACAAAAUUCUUGGGAGAGAUUCAGAAAACUAAGGUGCCAUUGCUGAGUGCCAUCUCAACUACUUGUGCUCUUUAAUUUCUUUAAUGAUACCGUCAGCGAGGGAAUCUGUAUCAUAGUUCUUGCCGUAAAACUUGACAAACUCCAUCUUUGGAUUCAUCAAGUACCUGAAAGUAGAUGAACAACCAGUCAGUGUUUUGAGAGGGCAUAUCUGAAUCUUCUCAGUAUCACUAGCCACAUGGCAGCAGAAGAAUAAAUCAGAAGCUUCUACAGUUGCAAUGAGUUUGGAGGGGGUACUGAUGGAGAAUAUAACAAAUCAGAAUGUGUGCAUUUUCUCAGUAUCAGUAGAUGGUGCAUGGCAGCAGUAUUAACAAAUUAGAAGCCUCCUACAGUCCUUAUGAGUUCAAAAGGAAUAUAUCUGUCAACCACUUAGUUAAUUUGGGAUUCAGGCAUUCCCAGUAUCGAGUCUCUAAAGCAUCCAAACGAGUGUAUAUCAUAAGUAGUUCCUACUGGAUACCCGUUGGAGCCCUGCAAGAUAUAUUCAGAAGGGUUCAUAUGCAAUAGAGAAACUAACAGGUUUCUUCAUUUUGCUAUGGAUAUUGUAGAUAUGCCAUAUCUUGUAACAACGAAAUAACUAGAACCAGAAUCAUCUCAAUUGCAGAACAUUAGCAAAAAUAAAAAAUAGCCAAAGUCAUUGUCCAGGAGAGAGGAAGAUUAAAAUAACAUACAUGACAAUUGAGUGGUCAACGAGAUAGUCAGAACCCUCCUCCUCCGUCUUCAUAUAGUAAACUCGGUAAGCACGUGCAACUUUUCUUAUCUCAUCUGUUGUGCCCGUUAGUCCUACCAGAUCUGGAUGGAACUCUGGGAGACACAAAUAAUUCAUCAAUAAUAGGAAAUUCAUUGAAUAAGAUGAACUAAUAAUAGUUCAAAUAGCAACAAUCUUUAAGUGAACAUAAGCAUUAGGAAUUGAGGGACAUAAGUGCACGGACACACACCUUUAACAUAGUCCCGAACCUGCUCAACAGUAUCUCUUUCAGGAUCAACUGUAAUGAAAACUGGCACAAUAUCCAAUUUUGCCUUUUCCUCUGCAAAUAACAACGGAGUUUAUUAAAAAUAUGCUAAUUUAACUGUCUACUAGCUCUAGUUAGGCACUUCAGCGGAAUUUUUCACCAAGUGCUGUUGUAUGUGCAUUCCACUUGCCCAUUCACCAUAUUACUUUGUACAGUAACGUGCCUUCUAGUUUCUAGGUGACCAUUUAAAGCAAGAUAACAGUGUUCUUAUACAUACCAUGAAGACAUGAAGAUAUAUCAAUAGACAGUAAACAGCCAAUACAUGACCUAGGAAGGUAGUUAUAUCCAAGGAACAAAAGAAACAUACUAAUUUUGUCAAUCGCUGCAGCCAUUUUCUGGAGCUCAUCUGGACAAAUGUCAGGACAGUGUGUGAAUCCAAAAUAAAGCAGAGUCCAUUUUCCCAAGAAGUCCUUUUCAGUGACAGGCUUCCCAUCAUGGUUCAGAAGCUUGAAUGGACCACCAAUGGCUGCAGUGCCUACUGAUUGUCCAGGCUUCACAGCACUUGUUCUAUUCUUCAAUUCUGGGGAAGAUGGAACAGAAAAUAUCAUGAAAAAAAUUAAACAGGAUUCAAGGAGCUGAUGCCUUCCUACUAUGCUGAUAAUACUUCUAAAAGGCACAUGUCCAUUUGUACAAUCAAGUAAAGUUUUGCGACAAUUGCUAUAAUAGCAAAUAGAGAUCUGAUUCUGAACCAGGAAGAUGGUUUCUUUUCAUAUUCAAUGGUGUCAAAACAACAUACAAAAAUAUAUCAGAUAUGAUUAGCACGGAGUCCUCUAGCAAUUGUUCCACUGGCCCUAUAGUAUGGUUUCUGAAUUUUUGCUGAUGUCAUGAAGAAGUAUGACAAGAGCAACAGUAGCCACAUAUAUACCGUUUGUUCAACAAGUUUAGUGUCCCGUUCAACUUUUGUAUAUGUGUCCUUGAAACCCAUGCAUAUGCAUUUACAAAGAAGUUAAAAACAGCAACAAAAAUGCCAGCAGUGGUUACAGAAGAAAAUGCAAACAAAACAUUGGUCUUCAGCUUAUUGUCUCUUAGUGUAGACUGGGACCAAAUUGUUGCUAAAAGCACACCAGUUUGUGGCAGGGAAAGCUUAGGCAGCUGGCAAGGUUACGGCUCUCCAUUUUGUAUAAACUGACUUGGAAGAAUUGACAAGAAAUGUAUGAAAUCGCCAAUUGGUCCUUUCUUGCUCCAACAUGGCUGUCACAAAUCCAGUAAGCUAACUCUUCCCUUAAUGAUGAUUUCACUUAUAAGUACCAUAUGUUUUCCAAAAAGAAAAGGAACUUUUCAGAAUAGGAGAUGUGUGCUCUACAUUUUUAUAGAACUUGCAUGAAACGCUGAAUAAAAAAUAAUACAAUGCUAGGGAUGUAAAUUAGGUGCUAGCAGAAAAAAUAAAAGCUCUAAAAAUUCCUAUUUCGGCACUCACAAUAAAAUGGGAUUAGAACAAACAUGAGACAAUGCAUUUAUUGCGGGAAAAAUGCAUUCCAGAACAUCACAUUCUAGUAAGUAGGUAUACAGCAAGGUGCCAAGGUGCAGCAGCAGCAGCACUCAUGCAGGGAAAUUAGAAGGCAUUAACAUGGGUAAUAUAUAAGACUCAGAAGCCAAAUUCUCACUAAAAAAAGAUUUGGAAACCGAUAAACUAUACUUCUCGUACAUUUAAAUGUCACUUUAUACCAAUCAAUUCACAGCCAGCAUGACACUCGAGACACUUCAGUGCACAUGUAUACCACACGCACCAAAACAUUUUUUUCCCAUAGCAACAUUCCAUAUAGCCAUGGCAUAAUGUCACAAAGUGUAGCCAGAAAUUUUAAGAUGGGGUUCAAGCAUUGGAUUUUAUUAUUAGACAGUUCGAUAUUUAUAUGGACUGAAGAUAUGGUAUAAUGAAGGUAUAUACUAGGUUAAACUGUUUGCUUUAACAUAAUUUUGAAAAUAUCUGGUGAGUCAAUUGAAUCCUGUGAACUAUGAGAAAUCCACUCACGACAUCAUGAACUGCUUUGGCUUAUUGGACCAGCAUAACCUCUUCAAAUUUGGCUAACCGUGUUUCCUCCAAUCAAUACGCCAUCGUACCAACACGGACACUACGAAUAUUUUUCUAUUCAUAGCUAGAUACAGUCCUAGCAUCAGUCAAACAACAACACAAACUCACCAUAGUAAUCUACCUUCAAUGUGACGCUUCUUUUCUUUAUCGUAGUACACAAUUAUCCCUCCUCCAGUCACGAGCAGCAGUAGAAAACUGAGCCAGGACACCGGCUGCAAGGAAGUGACAAGUGCUUCUGAAUUAGCAUUCAGAAAUGGCCUAACAGUCUAGAAACAAUAAAUGCCCUAAGGAAAUGAGAAAUUGGUCUCUUGUUAGACGCUACGUACAUCACUACUAAUUCGUGCCGAAUGAAAGAUUUCAGAGCAAUUGUGUUUAUUUUCCCCUGCAUAAGGAGGAUAGAGUACGAAUUGGGAUUACAAGCCAUAACUCACCCCUCCGCGGACGGAUUUUCCGGCGUCCGCUUGCUCAGAUUUCCCAGACUGCCCAUCGCCGCCUCCAUCCCCGCCCGUCGUCGCCGCCGCCGUCGCCGCGGGAGGCUUCGACCCGCCCUGCGCCGCAGUCGAGGCGUCGGCGGAAAAGAAGCGCGCGCGCCCCAGGAACGCCGCUCCGAACCGAGACUCACCGGGCCCAGUGAUCUGCAGCACGAACAAAACCAAACUAAUCACGACCCGGCGUCGCUACCAGAAGGGUGAGAGAAGAUCCCGCGCUCGGCGGUCGCCAGCGACGAAGAGAAAGGCGCUGAGGUACCUGAGGCAGAGCUCGAGCGGGAGGAGGGGCGAGGCCGGGAGCGAGCGCCCGCGAGAGGAGCGCGCGGAGGUGGGACACGCGCGCCCUCAUCGUCGACUCCGCCCGCGCCGCUUCGCCGGACCGGGAUUGGAUUCCGCUGCGGGAAGGGCAACGGGUUGCUCCGCGCCGUCACCUCGUGGCUCCGGCGGCGCCGUGGGUUUCAGAGGGGGUUUUCCAGCUGCGAUGGUUUGCGAAUGCUUUGCUUCUUGUGCAAGAAGAACGUUUCAGUUUCACGAAUCGCAACCCAGGAGGUUAAGCGCGUCAAGCAUCAUUAACAUUUUACUGACUUGUAACAUGUCUAACGAUUAACAUUACUUCAAAGAGUACGUCCUUUGCGUGUGAGCCUGCUUCAAUUAACAAACCUAUUUCGCAAAACUUUCUUCUUAAGUUGUCAAGUAACAAGCAUUACUAACAAACGAAAGCAAGGGUAUACUGAUUAGCCAUCCAGUCAAAAGUUUAAUUUGGAUUUGGUUGGGGUGCGCCAGGCCCUGCCAGCAGUGCAACGGCUGGGCGACGCUCGAGGGCCCCAGUGGCAAGCCACUGUAGUGGACCCUCCCCCACAAAAAAUAAAUUUAAUAUCGAAAUGGGCACAUGGCCCACAUAUCAGAUAUUAAACUGAUAAGAACAGAUACUACACUUGAUCUUAGCCAAAAGGCCGAGAAAGGUAUGAUUUGGGAUGGAGCCCUGCGCCUAGUUUUAUAGCACGCUCGACCGCCUCACCCGCCUUCAGCUCGCGAUGUGGUACUAUCCGGGAAACCAGAAGCGGGGCGGAGGGGCGCUGCGCUGCGGCUCCCUGCCAUUUGGGUUUCGGUGUUUCAUUACGGCCCAACUUGGCGGUAUCAGCCCACAUGAUCGGACGGCCCAGUAAUGCGACUUCUAGAGUCGACCGGGCCACUUGUGGAGCACGGGCCGGCAUUGAUAUACUCUCUCUCACACACAUACAGGUUUUGUCAGUGUCUCACGCCAGUACGCCGCCUUCAUGGUGGCAGCGAUGCCAUAUGCUAGUAACAAGCAGUGUUUGGGUUAUCAACUCAAGCAGGUCUUACUUCUUUCUAACCUUGCUUUAGGUCACCUCGUCUCUCAAUCUACAGAUUUUGAGAAGGUAGUUGCGACACCGCGACUCCCUAAAACGAGGCCGGGAGCUUUACCGACCUAAAGUUGAGAAGAUAGCACGCAAGAUUUACCGAACUGGGCUAAAAAUAUCGAACCGAGGAUGCUUCUUUAUGCAAAUGGUUCCUGAGAUUGGCAGUUACCCAAGUCCUGUUUCGCACUGCCGUAGGCAUCAGAUUCAUAUUACUCCCCAGAUUUCAGUCAUGGUGACUAAGUCCUGCUAACUACGAGCAUGUUCGGCUUUCAUUAAAGAACAUCAUUUCUUACAUGCCAUCGUGCUCGCUAAGGCUUGGCUUGAGCCGACAAAUAGGAUGUCCACCACAGCAGGGAAGGAAUUUCUCUAACGACGGCAAAAGCGACUACAAGCUUACAGGUAUCAGAUUCCUGUGACAUACAAGCUUGCUGCAAACACAAUGUCACGCUUGAUAGCAUUAGACGCGACCUCCAUCUUCUUGUACAGCGCAGAGUUCCCCAUUAUCGAAGCCGCGUUCCUGAAUUCUCUGCAUGUUUCAUCCAGCCGGACGAUUGUUCUUACAAUGAGCCCCUCGGAUACAUCUGUCAGCUCACAUAUGUCCGCAAAAGGAGUUCCCUGCAUUGAAGCAACAUAAAACAGCAUUACAAUCCAGCAUUCAUCUUGGAGAAGUGUUACCAUUACGAUGUGUAUACCUUUGCCCACUCGUAGACAACCUCAACAAGGCCAAACUUGAGAUUGUCACGUGCAUACUCCUCAGGAUCCACAGGUACCUUGAACUGUGCUUGGAGCGUUCCUAGUCUGAUCGCGGUAUCAUAAAGCCUAAUACAGAGAAAAACACAAUUGCAAAAGGUGCUUCAAACAUGUUUUCCAAGGAAAUACAACUGAGAUUCUUAAGAUGGAUCAUGACAGGAAACAAAAACAUGAUAGCAAAAGGUGAUUGAAACAUGUCUUCCGAGGAAAUACAACUGAGAUUCUUAAGAAGGAUCAUGACAGGAAACAGAAAAGGGGAGCAAAAAACUAAAAAUCUAACCUCUUUUUGGCUUCAGUCAAUUUUGGAGUAAGAGAUGGUUCUGAUGUAUUCCUCUGCUGGAAGACAAAUGCAGACAUAAUGGCCACGGCUUCUUCAGGUUCUAGGUCAUCCAAUUGAUUCUCGAACAGACAUUCUGUUGAUAUUAGCUCCUCACCGGAGUUCAUUUCACAGGCUACUCGUCCCUUAAGUUGCACAACUAGAUCAGAAUCAAUGUAGUUGAUUACCUUUAGUAAAUCAAUCUGCAAGGAUGGAAAAAUUAAAGUGUUAGAAAAUAACUUAAAAGUAUAGAAAUGAAAUCAGAGGUGGUUCACGGAAUGAUAUUAAAUUCUUGAAAAUCUGAUAAUAGCCAAUAUAAGCAUUCCACGUACAUUCACCUCGAUCUUAAUGAUUUGCAUGCAACUUUGUGAUCCUGUAUGGAUUGGGUAUAUAUGAAUCAUUUAUCUAUUAAGCCCAGCAUUUAAAAUCGAUAAUUCAAACUGUUGUUCCAGCACAGUAGGACUGGGACCAAAAACCUCCCAUAUGCACCAACGCAAAGCAAUUGAAGAAAUGACAAUAUCAGGUUUUUCCUAUGCUGCAGCGGCUAUGAUCCCUUGACCCGUUUUUCUUCAUGUACACAACAGGGCAGCAAGAGGAAAGAGUACAUGAAGAAGUCUUACUCUGCCUUGAAACUCCGGCAUCUGUUGAAGCGCCUCAUCUGACAUUUGGAAUUUCAAUUCAUUCAGCUGAUCCUUGUACACCUUUUGCUCCCUCAUCAAUGAUAUAUGCUCCUUCAGUUUUAUACAACCAUGACACUUGUUUUCAGACAUUUUUUGCAGUAGUCUGUGAUAUGCAUGGUAGCUUUCAACAAGAGACAUGCUCUUCAGAUUUAGAUCUAUAGCACCAAAUGACCACAUCAAAUAGUUAUACAGUUUACAAAUCAACUGAAGGAAAUCAGUGUGCUAAUGUUAUAUUCAGAGCUAAAAAUUAAAUUAAAGGGUGAAAUACACCAGAGGUCCUUAAACUUGUUCCAGAUUCUCUUCUUGGUCCAUAAACUCCGAAGUGAGCAUUUGGGUCCUUAAACUUUUUAAUUGGUUCAUUCCAAGUGAGGUCUAGGUACAUAAUUGGACCUGAAGUGAACUUAGAAUGAUCCACUUGAAAAGUUUAAGGAACCAGAUACCCACUUUGAGAAUUUAUGGACAUAGGUGAGAAUCUGAAAAAAGUUUAUGGACCCCUGGAGUAUUUCUCGAUAAAACAUACUGCUGAUAUUACUUGAGAACUUCGCAGGCAUGAAGGCCAACACACCUACACCAUUAUAUAAUUUUUGAACCAAAAUUCCUAUUUGAUAAUGCUGUUGAAUUAUUGUGUCUAACCCACUCAUCCCCCUAAAUCCAGGAAAAUAACAGGCUAGGAAAAAUGUCAGGCACAGUAUAAUGUAAGGUACUAAGAUGAACAUAUGGAACUUCAAGUUCAACAUCACUUGGGUUUGAGUUUUAAAUUCGGAUGGUUCAGCACAACCUAUUUACAGUUGUACAUGGUCACAUAUUUUUACCAUAUUCAUUUGGGUUUUUCAAAAAUCCUAUCUCUUUGGUCACUCAAACUUUGCCUGAUCCAAACAAACGCUUAGGAGUUUGGUGGUAAGUAUAAGCCACGAGAAUGCAGGAAAGCACCCAUUUACACUGUCCAACUUACAAGAUUGACAGAAUCAUAAGCAAUCCACUGUUUUAAAUAGCUGACUCCUUUCCUAGCCAGUUUAAACUUCAAUAAAAUAGCACAAAACAAAUAAUCGAGCCAUGCAGAAAAUUUUUACCUUUUAUUGCAUCUAAAGCAGGAGGAUACUUAGUUCCUUCUGGUUGCUCUUUUAUAAGCAGUUGGACAGUUUUGAAGUAAGCAGCUUUGCUACCGUCCUCAAGGAGUUUAACUUGAUCAAUCUUUAUUUUACUGGUGCAUAUACUCAUGAUCUCUUUUUUCUCUAUUGCUCUUACUUCAAAGCCCAUUCCAGAUGCAUCCCCCUUGUAUGGUAGGGAGAUUUUGAUAACACCUGAACCUUUUCGUGAGCUGCCGGAAGAGUAAUAUUCAUCAUCCAUGCCACGUUUUCCUUUCGGGGUAAUAAAGCGUCCUUGUUGAAAAUCCCCAGGUUCCUUUUCAGUUUUAUUGGACAGCUCAGGGGAUAAUGCAGAUGAAGUGCAAUCACCAGUCAAUACAAGAACAAUGUAUUUGUUUAGUGCUUGAGAUGGACCUUUCAAUAUAACACCAAGCAAGUGAUCAUCAUCCUGUCAAUAUGUUCAAAAGUCAUAGGGUUUUAAUGUGGAAACUGGAAAGGAUGCAACUAUAGCACAUCUAACAGUAUGUGUUCAAAAAAACCAGUCUUGUUCGAACAUAGGGCUAUGGUACAAAUGAUAGAAUGAUAGCCUCCAAAAAAAUUAAUAGAACCUUCCGAAGUACUUGCUUAAAUUUCCUGGUUAAUUUUAUCCUAAGCAUUUAAAGUGGAGGUGCUAAGUAAAAAGCUCACGGAAAUUUAGAUCGGCUUGAGCAAAGAAUAUUCUAAGAUCAAGCUUGAUUUCAAGCUCAAGAUUGAUCCCUAGCAAGCUAAUAUCAUGCUUGUGUAUGCUAAAGUCACAUGAUUUUUAGUGAUUCUUUUGGAUUUUGAACUCGGAUGUUUGAUGCUAAUUUAACAAGAGGGUUUAAACUUCAAUUUGGAACUUUAAAGAAUGCUUUGGUUUCUUCUAAGCUUCUCAUAUUUCUUUAUGUGCUACUUCUGUAUCUUGCUAAAUGCAUAUAGAAAAUCUAAAGACCCAAGUGCCGAGCAAACUUUCUAUUGAGUUUUUAACAGUUCGGUGUUGUGAAAUGAAGCAAUAGAACUAUGUAAAUAAAAGCAUUGCCAAAAGGAACCGACAAACAAAGAGGAAGUGUGCAAAGAGAAAUCCAAAUAUGAUUAAGACAUACAGUUUCAGAUUUAACGACCACCAAUCUCCCAGGCAUUAGGAACUGUUGAGCACUGGACGACUGCAUAAUUGCCUCUGUUAUACAUUCCCUAUGCGCCUCAGCUUCUAAUGACAUCUCAUAGUAUUCUUCAAUUGAAGGCUCUCCUUUUAUGCACCUAAUACAAGAAUAUAUAUAAUAUAAGGCAAAGCGAUAAAAGAAAAACUAAGUUCAGUGCACACAAAUACUGGAUACUACACUUUUAUCGGUACUUCAGAUAAACAAUGAAAACGUAUCAUAAACUGCCAUUGCAAAGAAAUUAUAAAAAUAAACUUGUUGCAAUUUUAUAAAGAAUGGAAAAUGCCUACAUCAGCAGGCUUCUCAUCCUUUGGGAGCUAAGGGCAGCUCUAAGCCUAUCCACGUUCAAUAUCCACAUCUCUGCAUUCGUGGAAUCAAAUCAUCGUCGCUACUCCUAGAGUUGGCUAUGAAAUAAUUGCUGCUAGCCUACUAGAUUGCUUGUGUAUUCAUUAUUGUCAAUUAGACAAACAUUUCCACGGUCCAUAUGAUUUAUUUAUUUAUAUAUAUAUAUUUUCACCUCUUCAUUGUGCCAAAGCAGUGGUAAUUACAGCCUACAAAGGAUCGUGGUUCCAGAAUUUGCCUACCAAAAUCACAAAUAAAACACCAAUACUUCAAGCUUUAGCUUUAUAUGUCAAAUGAAGAUUCACUUCUUUAUGUUUCCAUUUUUAUGUAGAAUUUGGAAAUUUGCUUUUGAAGUUUUGGCAUCUAUUGUAUCAAUCAGGUAAACAUGUUAAUGUCUCAGAAUCUUACUCUAUUGUCUUUGUAGGUUGACGAAGCAUUUGUAGAAGUAGCUUUUCCUUCUCAGGCAAAUUCUUUUGUGCAUGGAAUUCUGCAAAACUUCUCUUGAGCAUGUCCUCAACCUAUCAGAAAAAUCAUCAUUGAAGUAUAUUACCUUCCCUAUGCAUGAGGGCCUAUUUGUUUGAGCUUCAGCUUUUUGAAGAGCUGAUUCUAGAUUGUGGCUUUGAAAAUGCUGAUUUCCAAAAGCAGACUAUUGGAGUGCACAUGCUCAUAAAAACUGGAUACUUCUAGUGACAGAAAAGAGUGCCCCUGUCGCCCUUUAAUAGUCAAAUUAGUAUCAAAAGGAGAAAAAAUUUAACAUCAAAAGAGCCCUGAUAUAUACACUAUUGAGCAGAUAAUACAGAAAGUUUAUCAAAGACAGCCUUGGAAGUAAACUUUGUUAAGGCCUUGAGGGCAGUAGCAUAAUAGUCUGAUGUUAGUGCUUCACCUGAUGGUUUGCUGCAAUGUUUUUUUUUUUUGAAACAUAUGGUUUGCUACAAUGUUAUGUUUUAGGAAAGACUUCAGUGGCAUUUCAAGAGCCCAAUGGGCAACCAUAUGUAGCUAAACUAUACAGAAAACAAGGACGUUACCACAAAUACUCCUAACCGACACAUACUAUUACACAGCUACCCUUGACAUGCUGAAAUUUGGGAUGCCUUUAAUUCAGAAAUGCUUCUAUCACCACACGCACACACUUAUUGAUUUAAAGUAUUUUAAGGAAGCGCAGAGGCUGAUACAAGUACUGCCAUAGGAACAACAUAAAUGUCUUGUCUAGUUCUGUUUUCAGUCCAAACUCCAAAAAUUCAAAUGUGGACCUGUAAGACUCUAAGAAAUGUGCAUGGAUGCCAACAAGUAUAAGUGUUGAUAGGUAUACCUUCAGUUCCUCCACACGUAGAAGAUGUAGUAUCAUAGUGUAUGUUAAUCGAAAUUGAGAUUCCAAUCGAGUUGGUUUUCCAACAAUCAAAUUUUUCAAAUCACUUUCUUCAGGAAUUUCAUCACGACACAUAAUGAUCACUGUACCAAUGUUAUCAAGUCCUCUCCUACCAGCUCGUCCAGCCAUUUGAAUAUACUCCCCUGGAAGCAAUUUUCGGUGUUCUUUUCCAUCAAACUUUCUUAAGGAAUCAAACACAACCUGUUGGGUUUACAAAAACGCACUCAGAGCUAGCUUCACAAUCCUGAGCUUAAAGGCAUGGAAAAAGCAAGUGCAACCUAAGCACAGUUAAAGUUAGCUCAGUCCAAAAGUGCACAACGAAACAAGAAAUCAAAGCAUGCAUCUGUGUGUCUCAAACAUCUAUGUUUACAUGAGUUCUCUUUCCAACAAAGAAACACUGAGCAAUGCAUCAUAUGUAACUGUGAACAGCAAACAACAGAAUAUGUAGAAAUGGAAAUAUGUAAACAAAUGUUGGUAAGAUUAAUGCAUAAAAAGUUGGUUUCAUCAAGGCAUGUUGAAUUAAAGCAUGCCAACCUGCAGUCCAUAGUGCAAUCAUAUAAAUUAGAUUGCUAUUUGCGCUUAAAUAUCCCUGUAGCAGCUUCCAAUUUGGAAGAGAUUGUGUAUCAACAGGAAAAUGACAGGGAUUGUGUUCCCAUGGUCGAAAAAAAACACAAAUAAAAUUAAUAAGUAGACAGUGGAAUGCAAGCGGUACCACCUAACAUAGAGUCGAAUGGUAUUUGGUAAUAAAAAUACUACAGCGAUUUAUUCAAGAUACAAAAGCCUUGAAAAUCUUUAUUAGGCACAAAGAAUCUCACCGUUCUUGCUGGUGCAUUAACACCCAUAGCAAAUGUCUCAGUGGAAAACAGUACCUGAAAAAAGUUCAAGAAAGUUAAAAAUUUACCAUUCAGUUAAUUAAGACGCAAUUGUACCACAACAUGCUAUAAUUGUCAAAGGAGCGUUAAAAAAAAGUAACUUUUCAGGAGCAACUGACAACACUGCGAUGUGAUCACAAACAUAGUUUCUCUAUUACUGUUUCAAGUUAAUGGACACCUGCAGCAACUUUGGACAGGACAGGAUGUACUUAAGCCAGUGAUCAGCAUUUGCAAUUUUUUGUUCUAAAUCUAGUAAACAUCCAACAGUCUCAUAAACUAGAGUUCAUGCAUGGACUCGUUUCCUACGAGCUUCAAGAAGUGAAAUUACUAAGGCAAACGCCAUCAUGAAAAAAAAAAGGAACAAGCUGCUGCAUCGGUUAGUACUUAGUACAACAGCAUCUAGUAUGUAAUUAAAUAUGCUACGUAUACAAGUUACCAGAUGUUCAAAGCAUAACCUUGAUUACGCCACGACAGAAUAGCAUCUCAACCACUUCCUUCACAAUAGGGAGAAGCCCAGCAUGGUGUACUCCAAUUCCUCUUCGUAGAAAACUUUGUAUUCCUACAACCUAUCAAGGAGGUCAAAGUUUAAAGCACUGAUUGAAGCAAAGGCGCACAGGAUACAGCACUAAAAUUUAUGAGGUAUUAGAUCACCUGUGGAAGGUUCCUAUCAGAUCCUUUAAGGCGCGAAAAUGCCUUGUCACAGAAGACACGGAUUUCACUUUUCUCCGAACUACUGGUGAGAUCAGUGCCAAACAUGCUAUCUGCCGAUUUAUCACAACGGUUCUUUGAGAAACAAAAGAUCACCACCUGCAAAAGGACCAUCUAAUGAUCAGAUAAACACAUUUCAAAUGUGAAAUGACAUGGUAUGAUUAUGAUAAAAAGGAAAAGUAGAAUCCAUAACCAAAAUGUUGAGUAAUUGUCAUUUUACAACAUGUUGAGAUAGGCUUCAGCAUACAAAUCUAGGGUAAAACAAAUUCAAUGUAAAUGCUGAACAAGAAAGAGGUCAAAUAGAACUAAUAAUGUCAUGAUUGCAUGAUAGAGAAAACAGAAAAGUUAUACUCUCACAUACAGGCACAAGGGAUUUCUUCAGCAGGUUAUUCACAAGUGGCAUCCAAAAUGAAGAUUCUGAUCUCUUUGGCCCUGAGGAGCUUUGUGAAACUGCUGCUGCUCCUGAAUUGGCAUUGUGGUGCUUUGGGUACUUCUGAUCUCUCCCCCUGCUUGAUGUAUCAGGAUUUUUGCCUUGAAUUCCAGCACGUACUGCAGGUGUUCCUGAUUUUGGACCAGGUUUCACUCCAAGCUUGUUAGAAUUUUUCUUUUUGAAAGCAUCCUUUGCUUCUCUAAACCCUUGAGUAAGAAAGGUAUCCCUCUCACAUAUUUUGUACAUUUCUCCAGAAUAGAACAAGCAAUGCUCAAGCGGAACAGGCCUUUUGUUAGUCCUGGUGAACACAUAAUGACAGUAUUGUGCAAUCAAAAUUAUAGCUGGAGGUAUCCAAGCAUAUUCAAAUUUUGCACUUUAAGGCAAAGCUACACUAUCAGCCACUUAACUGUUUGGCCCUCUGCAAUCAAACCCCUAGUCUAAUCUUAUUUAUCCAAUCCCCUAUAUUAUCCACUUAUAUGUAAUCAAGUCCCUUUAAACCAAUCGAUUUAAUUUGUGCUCCUCAACCGAUUUUGUUUAGUUAAGCAUGGCCCUUUCAAUUGGUGCUACUCAGCUUUAUUCAACUUUGAACUAAUGCAUAGGUGUCUGGACAUUAAGUUAAAUCAAUCAAGAUUUGCAUCUUAAACUCAAAAUGUUAACUAACUAAUAUUGGUCUAAAUCCUCAUUAAAAAAUAAACUCUAAUAUGCUGCCAGGUUUUGGCUUAUAAAUGUAUCAUAUUUGUGCAACGUUAGCAAUCUGUUGUAAUCUAAAUUCAUUAAUCAUCUAUAUUACAAACAGAGGAGAGAGCCUUUUCUACAAUCAUCUUUCAUAGUGUACGGGCAAUCAUUGUCCUUGGAUCGCAUGCGUUUACUUGCGAAAUUAUUUUCAUAUCCUGAAAAAUUCAAGGCCAAACUAAGGUCGUGUUUGUUUCAGCUUCGGAUUGUGGCUUUUACAAUCAUAAGCCGAAACAAAUAAGCAGUCUGUCACCCCUGAUCAUAACCAAUUAAUUUCCCUCUUAUACAAUUGAGUACAAGAAUGCUUCAGAACCUAGAAAUGAGUUGUAUUUAAUGGCUACACCACCCUCAUAACCUGUCAUAAAAAACAAGUAACUGAAAUUUAUGAUUUUUAAAAUAACAAUUCCCCGAUAAGGUAGAUUCCAUGUACCCGUUGACUAGCAUGGAGAAAGGAGCUAAUUGGGUAAUUAGAACCAACCUGGUGGCUAAAGCAACUGAUAAUACAGUUCAAGGGCCUUAAUCUAAUUAAUUAUCUUAAAAUACGUACUAACAGCACUUACGACGUGACACGAAUUUUCUUCUGCUUUGUUCGACCAAUCCAGUCAGCAAAUUCAACUGUAUUUGGAACCUGAGAAGAAACAAUUAGGGUUCAACUCCAAACUAAAUUUGAACCAGAGAAAUAAUAUAGAGUUCUCGAACUUUAUUCAUAACAAGCAAAGAAAUUCCGACUACUGCAGUGCAUUAAAAUGGUAAUUUUUGCAUCAGAUUAUUGUAUUAAUCAUUGUUGAUAUUUAGAGGACCAAUUUUCAGUUAUUUUGUUUCCAUGUAGUCCUAUUUCAAUUUGUGGUUGAAUACUAACAGCCAAAAUUUGGACAAUUAACAUCAGAGAAGAUGUCACUUUAGUGCAUGAGUAUCAGAAAUCAGGGUGAUAACACUAUAAGAUCAAAGUCACAUGCUAUAAACUCGGCCAAUCGCACUUCCUAGCAAAAUUCACCUAAGGUCAGAGUUCUGCAUCAACUAUUUCAAAAGAAUAAAAGAUCAAAAGCGACUACAAAUGGCAUUAGCAUGCCAUACUGUCCUAGUUAUUAUUAGGCAACUGUUUGAACAACCAAUAGUGUGCACUGUGCACAGAAUGUUUGGUUGAUAGUGAGCAUAGUGGCUCAAGUGCAGUUCUCAUUAAAUCCGUACCGUUGCCGAAAGGAGAACAAUGUUAAUGUGCUUCGGGAGCAUUAUAAUAACUUCCUCCCAAACUACACCUCUUUCAGCGUCGUUUACAUAAUGCACUUCAUCAAAGAUUACCUGAUUGUACAAGUAACCACACAUCAGCACACACUACUCCUUAAGAUUAUAAAAAUGAUAUUCAAAAUUAAAGGCACAGAGUAAUACACAAUGAUGCAGAAUUGAAAUGGCUUACCCAUUCAAUGUCACGUAUAAUGUCCGCACCUCUGUAGAGCAUUGAGCGCAAUAUUUCAGUAGUCAUAAUUAAACAAGUUGCCUCUGGCCUGAUGCUGACAUCUCCUGUCAGAAGUCCCACAUCAAACUUUCCAGAGAAAUCUCGGUAUUUCUGGUUGCUGAUAGUUUUAAUAGGAGCAGUAUAGACAGCCCGAGUACAAUGCUGCAUAACAAAAUUAUCUGUCAUCAUAAGACCCAUGCUAACAUUUUCUUUUUAUCCGGUGCUGGUUUAAGCCAACUAUUAUGGUAAGCAACGAGAGAUAGUGCACGGAAGUAUGUAGUCUAAAGCUCCAUCUACUAACAAAACUACAAAAGUAACGGUGAAAUCUUAUCAGAAACUAAGAACUGCACACUUCUCAAAGGUUAAGUUAAAGCUUUCCCUCCUAACAGAAGCUGGGUGCUGAACAUCACAGUUUACAAGCUAUAAAUGUGGAAGACGUUAGGUGGUUUCAAAUGAACAGAAGUGCCCAAAAAAAGAAGAAAGAGCAAAGGCAGUCAUACUUUUGUUGCUAAAGCAAAUGCAUACUCGGCAACAACUGUCUUUCCUGCUGAAGUAUGGGCUGCAACGAAGACUGACUCACCCUUCUCAAGAUAAUAUAUAGCCUGUGCUUGGUAGACAUAAAAAAUGUAUAGAUUAUCAAAUUGGCAAUUAUACCAAGCAUUUAAAAACGUAUUAAUUUCAAAAACAUAUUGGUAGGUGAUAGCAAUUAAAUGCCUCCUUGUAAUACAUAGUUCGCACAGGAAAUAUAGAGGAAAGGAAAUAUCUGUCCACUUGGUGUUUCCUUUCAUUCAAAAUUUCUGUGGUAAUCUUGUAUUCCAGUUCAAGGAAGGACAAGAUAAAGAGAAGACUGGACAGCACAGAAAAGACAGAAUAGCAUCGUCGUUCAUCAAUUUCUUAAUUGCUAUUCAAAUUGAAAAAAAAAACUCAGAAGUAUGAAAGCCAGUGACCUCAGCUGGGAAGGACAGAAAUUUAAUCAGUAGAGUCUUUUGGAAGGACUAAUGAUUCCUAGUAUAAUUUGAGUGAGGUUUUUCAGAGUUCAGGUUAACUUAGAAAUUCACACUAUGGCACAUAAAGAAAAAUGGAGAAACGGCAGAGCAAGAGGUUUAGAUGGCGAACAUUGUUAGCUCCCAUACAAAAAAAGCGGGAGUAGUAUUCUCAACACAUCUAUAGUGACUAGAAAUAGCCACUCUAACUAUCCUAAGUCCUAAUAAAAUCUUGUCAAGUUCAAGUUGUGACUGAGUAUAUACUAUCAAACUAAAAUUGCAGGCCAAGCCUGUCAAAUAUAUACAAAGUAUCACAACCACAAAUAUGUAGUAUGAAUGUGCCUAUCAAAGUUCAUGUAAAAGGAGCGGUGUAUACUCUUUGGAUGCAGUAGUAUACUAGAUGCUGAGAUAAGUACUGAGAAGGCAUUAAGAUAGAAGGCACAGAUGAUUAUGAGUACCUUACCUCCUUCUGGAACUUAUCUAAUUCAAAUGGAAAGUCGAUUGCCAUAUCUGGAACGAGAUUGUAGAAGUUAGUCACAAUAUCUUCGUCCCCACCAACAAGUGCCCAAACCUAUAAGUGAAAUAGAGAUACAUUGCCGUUAAAGAUUCAUCCAUGAUCUAUCUUUAGACUUUAGGGAAUUGAGAGACCACUUUCUGCAACACUAUCCACCCAUGAAGCUUAUGGAAUGAGAAGCACAGCAUACGAAGUGAGAUACAAAACGAAGCAUAAAGUGUGCCUACCUUGCCAUCAUGUGUUGGCUUGUCAUCACCUGAUAUACCUGAUUCUUUUCGUGUAUCUUGAACUUCAGAAGAUAACAUUUGAUCCAAGUCUGUUUGAGUUUCAGGAUCAUCCCUUAUAACAUCUGCUUCAUGAUUCUCGGCGUCUAGCUUUGUUAUAGUCUCAGAAGCACCUUGCCACACAUCAACUUUUUGUUCGCCAACUUCUGCCAUCGGAAAAUGAAAAUCUUAACAAGAAACAAUAAAGAGUUAACAAAAGCACAGAAAUGCAAUAAUGUCAUAGUAGCAAUAAUGGUGAUGACAGCCCAUAGUCUCUUAGCUAUUACAAUUUGCCAAGAGAAUAUGCUCAUGCGACUUGAACAUAUACCUUUGGUUCCCUCAUCUUCAGCCGAUUGUUGAACACCACCCUCCUGCAAUGCCUUGUUGGCAGCAUCUUCCUCCCACGCUAUCUUGAAAAGAUCAUCAAACUGCACUGAGUACUUCUCCUGCAGGAAAAUGGGAUAAUCAGACUAUAAUAACUCUAGAAUGGCAAAGUAUGCAGAAAUGUGGAAUGUUGCUCUAACUACCAUUGCGUCAUUCGAUGACGAUACAGGUUGCUCCUCUACAAGUUCUCCAUUCCGGAAACACUUCCAUUGGCUUUUAUACUCCUACAAGAGAGGUAUAGACAACCGCAGUCAGUUUGGCGCAUCCACAACAAUCCUUACGGUUACAUGGCAAAAGAGAGAGAAAUAUAGUAAAGGACAAACCUUCAAUUGGCCCAAUUCCAAUCCCUUGCGGAACCCCGGAGGAGCAACCUGUGCCGGGCCACCAGUCAUAAGCUCACGCAUCCAAUCACCGUUACGCGCACCCUCCGGGAAUGCCUUCUCCAAUGCAGCCGCCUCAACAUCGUCAUCCUGUAGACCACCCGGACGAAAGGGUCUGUUGUUGAUGCUCCCCCUGACGAAGUCCUUCGCCGGACCAGGCAUCCGUGGCGCCAAACCCACGGUCCCCGAACCGAACACCUCGCCCAUCUCCAUCUGCACGGACUCAGGAUCCCACACUUGCGACUCCAACGCAGGCUGCGACGUUCCCCGGCCGCGCCGGAAAGGCGGCUCCCAGGCGGGCGCGAGCACUGUGCGCGGUGCGGAGGGCUCCAGCGGCGGCCUGGUCAGUGCAAACCAGUCCACGUCCCACACCCUCCCGGCAUCGGCCGCGGUGGGGAGGUGGAGCUCGGGGUUGAGGUAGUUCGCCUCGAGGUACUCCUUCAAGCUGCUCGGGCUCCCAGGCGGGUAGGCCGGCGGCUGUGGGUCGUCACCACAACAAUGGCGGGUUUAGGGUUUACAGAUUGCAGAGAACAACACGGGUGAUUUAGGGCGGAAUUGGUGGGUCGCGUACGUACCAGGACGAAUUCGGGAAUGGGGCUGGAAGGGUGCGGGGUAGGGUCGAGGCGGAGGUGGCCACCGUGGCCGGAGAAGCUGAUGCGGAACGGUAACUCGCUCGCCGGCGAGGGGGCAGGGCCGUCCAUGGAGGCGCCUCGCGGCGAGGCGGCCGUUUCCGUUUCGACGAACUGCUUCAGAGUUCAGAAGCUUGGAACUUGAGAGCCUGCUUGCAAGUUCACAGCGUUUCGGUCAUGUCCUGGAGAAAUCAUUACCAAAAGAUUUUGACAGCAUGUCAACAGGGUAAGGCUUGUUCCAGGUCAAAAAAAAAAGAUCACAGAUUUUUGCCCCUUCGUUAAGACCCGUUUCAAACCAAAAAUCCCCUUUGAAAUGCUAAGAUUAUUAUGCAUAAACCAAAUAAUUUCCGGUGGAAACCAAUAAAAUCCCCCCCCCAACCCAGUACGGAUCAAGGUUUUUUUUUACUUAUGCUCUUCAUAAUGGUCAAGGCAAGUAUGGAAUUCAGUAACUUUAAUAUCUCCUCUUUCUUUUUAUAUAAAAUCAUAAAGUUCAUAACAAAUCCUUGUACGUAAAUGUAUCUGCACGGAGAAUUAGUACUUUUAGUAUUUGACCUCUCAAAAACUGUACGUAUGUUUCACAUAAGAACCAUAAGUAUGAUUUCAUUUUCACGAGGAUCAAAGAAAGAACAUGUUAUUAACCUCAUCUUGCACCUAAUGGCAUCGUGAAAUUUGCCUAGUGAUAGUUUUUUUCUAUAAAUUAAAUAAAUCAACAUUUUAUUUCAUUUUCAAUUAGAGUAGAAAUCUUAUCUGGAGCAUGAAUUAUUUGCUCCAUCACAUAAGAGUUUGAGCCAUGUGAUAAGUUUUCAAGCUUACAUGGUCCAGGCUAUUGCGGUUUUGUACGGUAACAUGGCUUCCGAGUUUUAAUUCUAGAAUAUUUUGAACUCGACAUCUUGCAUGAUCGCUAAAGAGUAAUGUUCAAACCUCCUUGCAUACCAUGGCUUUUAAGAAAAAAUUGUGAUGAGUUGUUUGGUAGAUUACUCAAUUUAUCUUCAUCUGUAAAGUAUGAUAGCAUCAAUGACACCAUUGUUAUGAAACCCUUCCUAGAGCUCAAUCGUGUUUGUAACUUGUUGUAGUUUAAUUUGAAAAAAAUCCAAUUUACUACCUCCAAAUAUAUGGUAGAUCCAAAUAACCACCUAAACAAUAAAAUGGUUUAUUUAACCCCUAGUUUGCUAAACCAGAUCAAGACACACAUUUAGUACAUAUUUGAAACCAUUGUUGAUUAGGCGGAAUUAGAAAUCUAGUUUGCUAACUAGGAUCGACAUGUCAGCAGCCCAACGUGGCACGUAUAUUUAUGUUCAGAUCACCCCCUGCCUGACAAUACAUAGUAUUACUCAUGUUCUUCCUCAUUUCUAUCCGGUUCGACAGUGCCCAGCUCCACCGCCGGCGGCCGCGAGGCGCCGGCACAGCGGCACCCUCCCGGCACUGUCCUGUUGCCGCUUGGUGCAGAACGCCUGGCUUCACAGCAGCCUUUGCCCCUGGGCGGCAUCUGGCUCUUGCCUCGCCACCGCUUGCUGCUCGGCGCACGGCUGGAAGAGCACGAACUAGGAGCCGUUGUUUUUGGGGUGGUGUCACUGCCGGCUCUAAGGAUCAAGCGACGCACAUCCUCCACCUCAUGCUGGGUAGGUAUUCGAUGAAUUGUUUCUUUAGUAAAUAUUUCACUGACGCAACAAUUUUUAUAGCCUGAGGUUGCCUUGGCUUGUAAUUUUGUAGUAAAUUGAAUGUACAAAUUUCAGUUUGUUGUCUUCUGCUACUUUAUGGUCCAUUUGGAAACUGAUUGGACCCAAUCUCUCUCUAGAACUUGACAGCAUCGAGCAACUUUUGGACCCCAUGGUCAACUCUACCAGGCUCUUUGCUUAGUAUCUCUGUAUCUGAAGGAAGAACCGUACAAUGCCGCACUGAAGUGUUCCAAGUGACAAUGUACCACUGAAUUAAACCAUCAUAUCCAGGUAACUAAUCAAAAUUAAAGUACAGUGAUUUACUAGACUACCAGCUAGCAAUUAUUACAUCGAAAUAUAAGGAAUCCUGCCAUAUGCUACCAACAUAGCAUGUUACUGCCUGGAAGUUUUUUUCUUUUGCUUUGCAGCAGCUAGUUUCUUCUUCUUGCUCGCAGUACUGUUGAAGCUGCUCUGGGAAGGCAUAUUAGAUGCCUCAUCUUGAGUGUUGCCUGGAGCUGCUGCAUUGUUUCUGGACUUUUUUUGGCCCACUGCACUCCAAACCUGGAACAAUAAUUUCAGUUAACAACACUUAAAUAAUAAUUAAUUGUAUAGCAAAAGAAUGAGAAAUGUUACUUGCCUCUUUGCCUUUCUCCAUGAUGUUUCUCUUCUUUGAUUUAGACUUUGCUCCACAUCUUCGAAUGUUGUGACCUGGUUGAUGACACUUGCUACAGUUACCUCUCGAGCCCACCCUAGAGACCUUUGUGGCCUUUUUUGCUUCACUAGGUUCCCUUCUUCUCUCCUUUCUCGGCCUACCUGGCAUCUUCACAUAGGCUGGAGGCUUAGGCUUGCCGUGACCUCUUGGCCACUGUUGCAUUCCCUCCAUUGGCAUCAUGCAGUGAUCAUAUGUCUUGUUGUAGUGCUCAACUGAAUAGCAGUCAGCUAUGUAAUCUUCAGGUGGUUUAGAACUGAGAUAAAGUGCAGUGAUAGCAUGAGCACAAGGGAUACCUGCCAGCUGCCAGUAUUUGCAAGAACAAGUUCUUCUCUCUACAUCAAUUUUGAACCUCUUGUCCCACACUUUCACCUCAAAGCCAUCCUUCCCAUUCCAAAUUGCAAAGCAUUUCUGUGCAAGAUUAAUAUACUUGUUCACAUGUCCACAUGACUAAUUCACCACCUACAGCCUUGUAUAUCUCGGCAUAAACUUCAGCUACUUCACCCACUAUGAUACAAUCAGACAUGUACCUGCAACUCUGAUCAUCAGCUAAGCUCCUCACACCGUUACUCAUAUCAGCUCCGGGGGGCAGCCAAUGAAAAUCAACAUCCUCAACUGUCAAAUUGACAGGGUCACUAAGAAAACCCCUCAACUCUGGCAGUGAUAGCUUAUCCCUCUCUAUGUGUGACAAUGCAAUUCUACCACGCACAUAGUUCAAUGAGUAACCAUCAAAAUCAAAUUCGCCUCCAAAGUGAAAUCUUACAGGCACUACCUCCAGAGGGUCCAUAUCCCCUGUCCAGAAUUGUAAAAAGCAAGGUGUAUAACCAUCACAUUUUUUCUAGAAAAAAAAAAGAAAGUGAAAUCAGACCUGAGUGCUCCGUGCUGCUAGCUUGAGUACUAAUUAUAUUGAUCCACAAGAUAUCUAAUGACCACGUUCUUGGUCCCUACCUAAGCAUGAUGGCCAUGGUCAUGUUCAUGCAAUUAUCCCAACAACCAUUAAUAUCCCUCCUCACGUCAUGACACAUCAAUGUGCACAAACAAAAGAUCCUGCUCCAGUUUCUCUCUUAACUUCACGGUGCCAUCCACAGUUUCUACCUGUGCUACGAAGACACGUCGCCGGCUGCUACCUUGCAAAUACACAACCCUAGGUAUCCAAAGUCCUAGCCGCAAGUGCAAAUUAAUAUGUCAUAUUUGCAUCACACGAGGGAGAUUGGAAAAUGGAAACAUACCUGCCCGUUUUCGUUUGUGCUGAUGAACUUGUUCACUCCUAUAUCAUUCACCUAGUUGAUCUGGCUGUGUCACGCAGAAACCGAAGGCGAGGGCCGGCGGCCGGCGGGCGAAAUAAAAUUGACGAGCGAGAGAAGGGGAAGACACGGGACGGCCUAUUUUGGAUCUAAAGAUACUUGCCAUGUAUGGCUGCCAAGGUGUCAGUCUUAGUCAUAAAAAACCGGCCAUGUCAGCAAAUCUGGUUUUAGAUAUGUGUAAAAGGUGUGUUUUGAUCUGGUUUAGCAAACUAGGGGGUUAAAUAAACUAUUUUAUUGUUUAGGGGUUAUUUGGACCUACCAUAUACUUGGAGGCGGUAAAUUAGACUUUUUCCUUUUAAUUUCGAAGGUGCCUUUUUAUCCCUAUUUUGUGUUGUAAUAUAUUUCUAAAUUUUAGUAGAUCUAAGACCGUGAAAGCAUUUCUGAAGACAAAUGCACAUGAGUAACUUGUAUUUUCCAAACAGAAAUGUAUUUUGAAGUCAUUGACGUACAAGCUUUAAAAAAUCUAACCAAAUGGAUUAUUUUAUAAAAGGAAAAAAAUGUUUCCUAUAUUGCAAGGAACUAGUUUCCAUUUCUUUCCUAAAAGUUUACAUGGCACAUGUUUAUAGAUUGCAAAUUUUAGUUCCCUUCUUAAGGCCUAACACAGCAAGAUAUAUUGAAAAUAAAGAUGCAUAGCCUGGACAUAGGCACGUAGCAAUAAAAACUUAACCGAUAGCACUACAAAUAUCUUCUGCAUGUCCGAAUUACCAACGAAGGCAUGCCCAACUCCGAUCAGAAGUUUGAAAACAAGGCAACGAGUUUUCAAAAUUCAAAAGAGUUUAAUUCACAAGACGAAAGACAAGGCCUAUGGUUAAUUUAGAGAUCCUAUAUUACCGGGUGCUCUCCUCUCCUCAAUCCCAUCGCUCUCCUUGUUCGCUCCGGGCUCCCACUCCGACUCGAUCCCUUCACAAAAACACCUCCAUAUGCAUGCACCUCCUCACCGAUGCUGCCGCAAGUCGUUCCGAAUUCGUCUUUCUUUCCCGGAGCUCAUCACAUCUCGAGCGCGCGUUGAAUUCCUGAUGCGAGGAUAGGAAUCGAUCGACCUGCAGCUUCCACACACGCGCCGGUGCAGCGGUCUCUAGUCGGCGUCGGCGUCGGCGUCAGCUGGGAACGCCGCCGGCCAUGGCGAUGUCGGCUUUGUCAACGUCCGCCCUGAGCUCUCUGGAAGCGAUGCUCCAGUCGCUGAUGCGAGGAUCAGGAGGAGGAGGCGGCGACGACGACACGCCCGUAGACGACACCCUCGCCUCCCCGCCGCCGCCGCCUCUACCCGCACGGCCGACCCCACGAGGCCGUCGUCCCUCGCGUCGCAGAGUCCGGCCCGCCGCGGCGGCGCGUACAUUGAUGUCACCGCCGCCGUCGUCGUCGCGGUCACCGUCGCCGUCACCGCCCAAGGUUCCACCCCCCAUUAACGUCAUCAGCAUUGUCCAUUGAUUUGUCUCAAAUGAUCCGUGAUCGCGAGAAUUAACCAGCCGCCACGCAUCUGAUGGCUUGCGUUGGCUCAUUAUGGCAGGAACGGGAAGACGCUAGGACGGAUGAUGUCUCGCUGCUGGUGGAGGGGCUGGAGAGGAAGGCGGUGGAGUUGGAGGCGCAGCUGCGGCGCCGCAGCGAGGAGGAGAACGCCGCGCUGAAGCGGCGGAUGGAGAGCUACCACAUCCGGUGGCUGCAGUACGAGAUCAGGAUCAAGUCCCUGGAGGAAGCCUUCCACGAACAAAUGGCCGCUCUGCAGGUUCGUCGGAGUCCUGAAUGAGCACUGCAAAAGUUUUGCACGCACCGUCGACAUCCCAGUCUGAAACUCUGAACGCGAUGAUCCAUCGUCUUCUUCCUCGCGUGUCUGUGUUGAUGCAUGCAGCUGGCUCAGGACGCGGCACGGAGGGCCGAGGAAACGGCGGCGUACGACCACCGCGAAUCCUCGGAACACCACGUCGACGCGCCCGAGGACCCGCCGGUGAGGCUGUGGCACGGCCGGGACCGCAUGGUGGUGGGCGCCAGGCGGAGCGCGGUGAGCCGCCUCGGCGCGGAGUUCCGGCGCCAGAGCCACACGCUGGAGCGCGGCGCGGAGGCGCUCGUCGCCGAGGAGCCGGCGGCGGCCGCCCCGAGCGGCGGCUGCCCCUCCUCCUCCGCCGCCGACGACCUGAAGAAGCUCAAGGCGCAGUUCCGCGCAUGGACCAAGGACUACAAGGCCCGGCUGCGCAGGACCAAGGCCGAGCUCGGCAGCAGGGACGCGCGGCGUCAGGGCAGCUGCUGGAUCUGAACCUGUCACGUAUGGAGUUCGUCUAUGAAUGAUGGUGUGAAAUUUUAAUUCAGAGAUUCGACGAAUUUCAUGAAAUCGAUUCAAAUCUUGGAGUAGAAAUCUUUGGCAACGUUGAAUGAGAUGUAGCCGUACAAAGAAUUCAAAUCAUGCGCAUGCUGUAGCCGUUCAGUUGUUCAACCACUGGAGUAGCAGCUGUGAGUAGCGCAGGAAGACGAGAUAAAAAAAUAAGUUUGGCUUGAUUUCAGGUGAGGAUUUUACCGGUCUACGAUUAGGGAUUACGUUACCGUCACCUUGCUUGAAAGGUGCUGCACGAUUUGACGGCAGGGCAGGGGAUUAUGCGGAUGGCUCCUCGGCUCCUGCCCUGGGCCUGCUACAGCGUGACCGCGAAACAGUAAUCAACGAACGAUGUGGCCAUUUUCUCUGAGAAGGGUUAGCGCCAGCUACUGGGUGUCACCUCACCAGGAAAAUGUCCACGACAGCGAGAGGAGAGGGAGACCGGGAGGAAGGUUCUCUGUUCUCUCGACAUUCAGCAACGUGUUUUUAUAGAAGUUUUUGGGAGUUUAGCACGCCUGACAUCCCAAACGAGAUCAAAAACUGCAACGAACGACCCUUCACUUAUCAACGGCGGAGCAGCCACCGGCAUGGCAAUAUGAUGGAAACGACUGAACUGAAAAAAUCGCUAGCAUUUUUGCAUAUGAAUGUAAAACAACAAUGAGAUGGCUUUCCCACGGGUUUGGCAGGGGAGAGAGAACCAGGGAGGGUCAUGUGAAAGUGGGUUGGAGCACGAACCGACGGCUAUAUUCUUUUUGCAAACCUUUAUAUCUUUAUCAGCAAAGAACAGUUGAAUUGCAACCAUUAGAUCAAUCAUCGAAUUCUAGGGUUUUCAUUAUCUCCGAACCAGCUACAAUGACCCAUUUCUCCUCCUCCUUUUUGUCUUGAAGUUGAAAUUGGCAUAGGUAUCACAUCAUUGACUACAACACAUCAUUCUUGGCUUUCUAUGCCGUCAUCUUCUUGUACUAUCUCUUUAUAUUACAAUAUGCUCACGACCCUUCCAUCUGAAAUUACUGGUUAUUAUUUAUUCAUAUCCAACAUUUUGUCCACUAGAUUUGUGAUGGAGAGAUAGAUGCAAAAGCAUUGAUUGUUAUAUGACAUCUUGUGGUGGUGGAUCAAAGAAUGAAUUCUGAUGCCAAUCAAAUGGAAAGUCAUUCAAUUGUCCCCCAAUAUAAAUGUCUGACUAGUUAGCAGAACGGAAUGAGAUCACUGGUUUCAAUAGGAUCAUAUUGUAUGAAAACCUACGUUUUUCAUCUUAAUUUUGUUUUGCUUUGCUUUGCUUUUAGUUAGUGUUUGUUGAUUCUCUUUCGAGUCCUGUCUAAUAAGCUAGGGCUCCUUCAACCCGAACUUGCAUCGAUUUUGACUAUUUAAGGCAACUCAUCAUAUCAUAAAAUACUUGACGCAUUUGAUAAAAAAAUCUUGCCAAACUUUUAAAGCCACGACCAUCAAUAAUUGUCAUAAUCUUAUAUUUAUUCGAUAUUGUGACUAUACUUGUAUAAGAAAAGAAAAUACUAGCCAAAGCUAAGCAUCAAAUCAAAAAAGCUAUAGACAUCAAGUAUUAGUGACCGGUUCAACCUUAUAUUGGCACAUAUACUGCUCUGUUAACCUUUUUCCAUUAUUAAAAGGUGACAAUUCUCGUGUUCGCUAAAACGCGGUAAUAUUUGUUACUUGUUCUUAUUUCUAUGUACUUUCCUAAAACAACUGACUAAACCGUACCAACAAUUUUUUUAGAAAUAUGACCAAUCAAUUUAUUCUAAUCCACUCGAAACAAGAAGAUGAUAACAAGUGACCGAACAUGCAACCACACACGUGACUCUUGUAUUCUUUCUCGUUCCUCUCAAGUGCCAUGGAUACUCGCUACGCCUCUAUCUCCCUUACCACUAUCACUCACCGUGAUACCCCGCACCAGCACGUUCAAUAUAACCUAAUCGCUAGAUCGAUAUGGCUUCUAUGCGAAGAAGAGUGUAAUCUUAAACCUGACUUCUUUUUUGGCAGAAAAAAUAGGAAGAUCCUCUCCAAAACGAAGCAGUGGAAUUAAAAAAAGGAAAGAAAACAAUGCCUGCUUCCACAGAAUUAGCAGGCAUUUUAUCCGAGGGCUCAAGAUUAGCACAGCAUUGAAAACGGCGCGAAAGGUAAGCAAAAAGGGAGAGAGAAGAAGGUCGCAGCCGGCGACCCGGCGAAAAGCCCAAACGGUAAAGCAACGUCGCACCGCACCGCAUCGCAACGCAAAGGAGGGGAGCGAGCGGAGGAGCGUGAGCCGGGUGACCCGCGCCGCGCCCCCCACCCCAACAAGUAGCCAGCCAGCCAGCCAGAGCACACCACCAGCCGAGGCCAGAGAGAGAGAGAGGGAGGAAAGAGGGAAGCGGGCACAAGAGGCCACCGCAGCGGCGAGCAAGACGCCUCCACACGUCUCUCCUCCUUCCCCUUCUUCCCCUCCCGUUCCUGUAGCGGCGCCCAGCCCAGCCCCAAACCCCGUGGAAUCCUCGCCCGAUGCGGCGCGGGUAGGGGCCGGGGGCGGAGCGGAAUGGCGGGGGGCGGCGAGAAGCGGCGCCGGGUGGGAGGUGGGGGCCACGAGGAGGAGGAGGAGGAGGUGAAGGAGAUGGACCGCAUCUCGGAGCUGCCGGACGCGCUGCGGCUGCAGAUUCUGAGCCUGCUGCCGCUCAAAUCGGCCAUCCGCACCGGCGCGCUCUCCUCGCGGUGGCGGGGCCUCUGGGAGCAGCGCUGGCCGGAGCCGUCCUCGCUGCGCGUCCGCCUCCCGCCCGGCGCGGCGGGGGCGGCGGCGCGGGUGGAGCAGUUCGGGGCCAUCGACCGCCGCGGGAGGCGCCGGAUGGACUGCUUCUCGCUCGCCUUCCACGGGGGGCAGCUCACGCAGCCGGACCUCAGGCGCUGCCUCGACUACGCGGCCGCGUGCGAGGUCGAGGACCUGCACCUCCGCCUCGACGGCGCCGCGGGGAGGGGGUCGCGCGGGGGAGGGGGCGGGGCCACCCGCGGCCGGGGCAUGCUCACCGUGCACUUCCCCGUGGGUAGCCGCCUGCUCGCGCGCCUGUCCGUGCGGGGGCUCAACCUCACGGCGGCGGCCAACGCGAUGGUCGCCACGCUCGAGGUGAUCCACCUCCACUCCGUCUUCCUCACCGACGCCGCGCUGCGCCGGGUCGUCGCCGCGUGCCCCCGCCUCCGGGAGCUCGAUCUCCGCUACUGCCGCCGCCUCCGACGUAUCGACUUCAGCGCCGUGGGGGUGCCCAACCUCAGGAGCUUCACCAUCGUCGACUGCUCCCGCACCACCGAGAUGCGAGUCCCAGUGGCGCCACGCCUCCGGUCGUUCCGCUUCAGCGGCGCCUUCCUCUCGAGCAACAUCCUUUCCGGUGCUUCAGGGUCUCUUGAGCAUCUCUACCUCUGCUCCGGCGGGCCAGAGACCGGCUUGCCGCCCACCAACUUGCCCACCUCAGUUCCUCGCCUAUCGAACCUCAGUGUCCUCACCCUCUGCAGCAUUGCGCUCCAGGUCUGCUCAGGGAUCUAUGCCAUUUCCUUUCAGCCCAUUUCAUUGCUUACACGCUUAUACUUGUUCGUAUUGCCUUGUAGUACAUCUCUGCUUCCACAGCCAAGGACGUAGUGGAGAGCAAGCUGCACAGCUUGAGAGAGCUCCAUUUCCUCAUGUUUGGCAUGGCCAACUCCAACCUUGCUGACAUCUAUAGCUUCCUCAAGACUUGUUCAUGUCCUCAGUUGGAGCGGCUCUUUGUGCAGGUAUCUGCUUAUUUUUUCAUGCAAAAGUUUGCAUUUGGUUGCUAGUUUGUCUAUGGCCAUGUGAUCUGUUUCUCAACAUGUUCCACUGAACAUGCAGCUCCCGACGAACAUUCAUGAUUCAUUCACGGAGAAUUUCUUGGCGGUAGCGGAGGAAGAGCCACCAAAAGGUGGAUUAGAAAACCUUUGUUUAGCCAAGAUGACAAAUUUCAAGGGGCACCGUAAUGAGAUGCAACUAGUAGAAUUUCUUCUUAGAAAGUCUAGUUGUCUGAAGAAACUAAUUCUGACUGCUCCUACGGAGGAUCACCCUCAAGGACUCCGCAAGAUUCAGUCAGAUGUUCUGCCCAAUUUUCCUAAAACAGAAAUAUUACAUCUGGAAAGAGCUUCAGCAAAUACCCAGAUAAUUUUCAGCGAGCCUGAUGGUCCUCAGAUCCAACCAUUGCAUUCGGAGGUCUUUGUCAGGUUUUAGAUUGAAAUGAGCAAAAUAUUGUUGUAGUCCAGUGUCUGCUCAUUAAUUUUUAGAUUUCUAGCUGUUAGAUAACAGACAUGGGGAAAAGAAAUGUGCAAGGCAUACAGAGUUUGAUAUAUGUUUUCUACAAUUCAUGUUACUGAAAUAUUCUGGCAUAGUGGUUGAAAUGCGAGGUAAUCUGAUCUGCCACAUUUUCCUAUUCUACCAUCCCCAGCCUCUCCUUGCCAGCUUGUGUGCAUGCCUGAAGAAUUGAAUGCUUAUCAGGCAUCUCUUUGGUGCUAGCUUAUUCUAAGCUGCUGUUACACAACCAACCAUCUAUUGGAACAGAACCACCUUCAUUUUAUUUGGGUGGAUUAGUUUUGUUGUACAUUAAAAUCGGUAAGUUAACUGUGUAUUCCAGAUAACUUAAAGAGUUAGCUGGAGCUUGUGCAAUUCUCUUGGUUAAUCCUGAAAUAACAUUAUAUUAUUCUGUCUAGGUUUCUUCUAGAUACAGAAGGAAUCUGAUAGAGCAAAGUUCAUAUAACUUGUCACCUGUUUUUAGUGGUUCCUGUAAAAUGAUGCAUCAGGGUAGCUUGGAAAAUUGUCCUUUUGUAGAUAGGAUUAUGUUACCUUAGUAUCUAUGGACUCUAUCUGGAUUCUCCAUUUGUGUGAAGAUAUGGUUUAAGCUUAGAUAUGACUGGCAGCAUGGAACAUAUUUUUUAUCGUUAGAUGGAUAUGAUUGUAUGAACUUCUGUACACUGAAACUUCCUUGCAGAUUGAAUCCAUGAUAUCUACGCACCCUGUAUGGGGGCUGUUAUUUCUGGUCCUUGCAUCCUGGUAUUGUCUUAUUUGUCUUAUAUCCGUGAACUAUAUAGGUCUUCCCUGUUUGACUAUCUAGCAUCUUGUUUAUAGCUGUUCCCAUGAAGUCCUAUAAGAAAGUGAAUGUAUAUUUGGAACCAUAUUUGAUUCUUUUUUCGUGAUUAGGGGUGAACGUGUUUCAGGACAACAGCUUGACAUUGGGUAGCUUGGAAGUAGCGCUGCAAUGUUGUUGAUGUGUUACCUUCAUGCCAAAAUAACAGGCUUGCCUUACAAUGACAACUAUUAUGAAUUUAUACUUUAUGUGGAGAUUACAUCCUGAUGGUACUAGAUGUAUGUGGAAUUAUUGGAUGAUUAUGUUUUUUUCUUUUAUUGCAUCUUUAUAAAUGUAUGAAUGUAAUGUUUAUUGUUCUGAUAUUUUUAGUGUGAUUAUCCAUAAUUAUCUUCCAAUUUGGUCUACUAUGGCUACUAUACUACAACCAAUCAAAUUUAUUAUUGGCCUUGUAUGGAAGCAGAAUUGCGGAUGGGGGAAAUGAGCUUACUCACUACUAUCAAUUACGAUUUUUUGAGGCUACUGGUUGCAAUACUUCGAUUAACAGGAAAUAAGUUAUCAUGCUAAUUUUUUUAUGACAUAAUUGACAGUGUGCUGUUGGCAGUUUAGUUUAGCCUUAAAGAUUUUAUACUUGGGCUGUUGAGCCAAAUUUAUAUUUGCUAUAUUUGGUCAUCUGGGGGGUCUUAAGUGUUCUUGUUUGAUGUUUGGGCCACUGAGUAGUGGUGGAGAUAAAUGAGGUGAAGUGGUGCUGUGUGCUUAGCUAGCUUUGCAGUGACGAGCCACUAAGGAAUGUUGGGUGUAGCAAUUUCAUGCUGAUGGUUGGUAGUAUUUUCUGCGUGUACCUUGGGGUGUUUGGGGGGGGGGGGGGGGUGAAUCUUUGUGGAAAUUCUAUGGUGCUACUUUUAUGAAGUGAAAGCCAUAUCACCUUAGUGCUUUGCACUUGUGCCUUAUCCUUUCAAACCAUGCAGAGCUGUAGAGCCACACAGCAUAGUGAAAUGAUAUGGAUAGUGUUGGUAAAGGCGUCCAUUAUCUUUGAACCUUCUUAUGCACUUGAAUGUUUGAAGCAGUGAUAUUUGUGCGUAGCCUUCAUAUCUCUCCUGAAUUUAGCACUUCUUUUUGAAAGUUUGGGCUGCUUAGGAAUGUCAAACUACAAGGAAUCGCACUUGAUGUGAAGUUACGGAGCUGGACUUUGGACUUGAUGAUUUAUGAAGCUGAGUGUUACAAGAUGUAUGACAAGCAAUACAGAAUUUCUAUGUUUCUGUUGCAAACAACCUGAUGAUCACUUGAGUACUUGACUAUUAAUAUGCAAUAUAUCGCUGCCUUCGACUCAAUGUAUCUGUCUGUACUGCUCCAGAUGUGGCCACUUUUUGACUUGUUUACAUAUAAUACAAGUGCACACUUCAAGUCUACCUUUGGAGCAAACUAUGUGUUCAUUCAACCCCUGAAAUCCACCCCCCCCCCCCCCCCCCAAUCUUUUAAAUACUGUGACCUGGAAGGCUGGAACCCCCACUGAUCAAUUGUGAUUUCUUCGUUAAUGCCAGAUUUUUUCAUUAAUAUUUUUUAGUCUGUAAUCUGCAAUCAUUAUAUAACAAAUUUGUUGUAAAAAGUACUUUACCUAUCUAUAUCCUCUAAUUAUAUUGCCAACUUGCAAAAUACAGGAAUAAGAGGAUGCUUACAAGAUCUUGAAGAGUGUGGCAUUUGGAAAAGAUUGCUUAUGCUGGUGAGGAAAAGGUGUAUCCUACUUUGUGUAAAUUAGUGGUGGGUCUAGGAUUGACCUUGCAGGGGAGGUGCAUGAUUUUAUUAUUGAAGGCUGGUAUAGUUAUAUCCCCCAUACUUUGUUAAGAUAUGUCUUAUUCAAUCUCUAGGAUAUGUUGGGUAUCUUAGGCAUAUAGGUGACUCUUGUUUGCGACACUACCCAUAGUUCUUUCGAGUAACGUAUGCUAGCUUUUCCUGUGGCUUGAUAAAUAGUCUUCUAUUGAAGGGACUUGUACAUUAACUAACGCAACGUCCAAUUCUAUUUUGACCUCAGAGAUAACUUUCUUUUCUUGUCCCAUUUUUUUAGUAUAAUUAUUAUCUCAAUAAUAUAUUCCUUUGUGUUAGUUUUAGGCUUUGAGCCUUUUGUGGUUCUACCAGGGCAUAAAUAUAAUAUAGUUCUAUCUGUUAUUUGGGCCUUAGCUUUAUGCGAUUCUUUGUAAGAUAUGAAUAUCUCGAAAUUUUCAGAAGAUCCCAACCCAAUUUUCAUGAAGCAUCUUUUCAUGAAUAAAGGUCAUUAGGCCCAGUUUGGUAAUUAAAUACACUUAUUAAAUCAAAACUUUGAAUCUUUAACACUGACAUAUCGAUUUAGCCAUUAUGUAUUAGUUUUAUGAAGAGUUGAAAACUUGAGAUGCAUUCAGAUGCUACAUUUCUAAUAUUCGGGCAUCUGAACUAUCUAGUAUUCUAGUGUGCUGUCAGUCUGCAAAUUACGUCUUGUCCUUUGGUCAUUUCUGCAAGUACCUGAACGUGUUUAUGGUCCUGCACUCAUAUUUUAAAUGUUGAUGUUCAGAUGAACGUUUAUAUGGUCCUGCACUCGCAUUUAAAUGUUUGGUAAAUGGAUGUUUCAUUAAUAUUGAAGGGAAAGUUCUAACUUUCUAGGGAGUCAAGCCGAGGGAGAAAGCAAUAUUCUUAUUAUGUAAUAACCAGAAAGAACCAAUCAUACAUCAGCUGAUGAAAUGUCUGCAUACGGCAUGGCUGUUUGGGCUGCUCUUCUUUUCCCUUGCAACAAAUUGGAUAGGGUUGCUGGCAUGGCAAGAUAAAGUGGGGCUUGCCAGGUGGCUUCUACUUCCAAUCUUUCUCAGCACAUCUUGCAUUACUCUUUAUCCUUAAUAAAACCAAGAUCAAUUAAAUCACAAAAUUAUAUGUAUGUAUGCUUUCUUAACGUCUCUUAAACUUUUGGUGUCCUUUUUCGUACCAGCUUUUCCUCUGUCCUUCCACUCCACUGUAUUGCAACAGUAUCUGUGCAGCUACUCAGAUAUGGUCUGCAAGAAACCUGCUAGUUGGGUGGGUGGGUGAGUGGGGUUGUCUGUGAUUUAGAGUUAGGACUGCAUUUAUUUGUAUGCCUCAUGGUCGUGGUCCUUGGCCUAUGUGCUACGGUCCAUACGGGGUACGGGCCCAAUUUAUUAUCACUGCUGAUUUACUUCAUCUGUUUAAGAGUGAACUCAAUUAGUUUACAACUUUUGUGAUACAAAAUUGAAGUUAUUAUAUUUGUAUUCAAAAGUACUUUAAUGUUCAUAUCAGAAAAUGAUAUAUUAAUAGAGUAAUGGUUGGUUAAAGUCAUGUCCUAACUAAACAAAAUAUGUGUUAGACAGGGAGAAGCAAAUAGUCCUACCCCAUCCACAAAGUUGGAGAGAUUAACAUUGCAUGUCUAUGCUGCCUACAGAACCCUUCAAACAAGGUUUGGGUACAAAAGUCUCGCCAAAAAGAAAGGUAGCCUACAGAAUUAUCGGCAGCUGUAAGUUAAAAAAUGGGCGACUACUGUCUACCUAAUACUAACUGAAAGGCUGGAAUUCCAUCGAUGCUAUUUUACUUCUCUUGAUACACUCAUUUCUGGGGCUAUCUACUCACCCUUGAUUUGUUCCCUUCAACCAUACUUUUGUGCUCCUAGGUCCUUGCUCUUUAUAGCUACUAGGUUCUACAAAAAAAAGUGGGCGCUGGGUAGACAUUUCAUGCUCAUCCAUGUGUUGCAAUUUGCAAUGUUUUUUUUUUGAGACAGCAAUUUGCAAUGUUAUGUAGUGGCACUCGUAGGAGAUAUGAAAAAGAACUUUUGAGCAUAUUAUAUGAUCUUUCAAGAAACUUUUGUCAUCCUUCGCUAUCUCGUAUUGAAUUCUAUCGACCAGCAUUUUUUAGAGGAUAUUGAGUUUGAGGACCAGAAACGCUUCCUUGCAGGUGAACCCGGUCGCUUGGCCAUUUUACAUGGGUGGGGCGCUGGGCUGGCCGGCUGGGCUCUGGUGGUAGCUGAGAUUAAAUAGCAUCAAGCAGGUACACCAGGACACUGCAACUUUGUUUGCAUAUUCAGAGGGAUUAUUUGUCUGGCAACUGCAUUCAAGUCUUGAUGUAGUACAAAAUUCUAAUUCUUUUUUUUUGCCUUUGAUUGAGAGAGGUUAUUAAUUCGAUAGCUGCAUUCAACUCUUGCUGUGCAAUGUUCUUAUUUUUUGUAUCUUUGAAUUUGUAGCUUUAGCUCCAAAACUUUAUCUCCAGAGUUUCCUGGAGGCAUAUCAAAUAAUUAAUGAUGCUGUCUGGAGGGUCAAAUUUGGUUCUAAUUAUUACUAUUAUUAUCCCUUAGGAUUAGUACUGGCCGUACAUUCUGAACUAACGAAGGUGCACUGGUACAUCACGUGGGCGGUGGUACUAAUAGACCGGCAGUACUGCACUACUACUGGCAGAUGGUCCAAGUCCAUACCUGCUCAGUCAGCCUCACCAACCGGAUUGCCUGUUUCGAUCACGUGCACCGCGUGUUAGAAUGUCCCCCUUACAAAUACCUCUUGUAAUUAACAAAAAGAACUGCACCUGUUCAGAUGCCCUUCAAAUCGCUUCAAAUUCAACACCAUUUCGGUGUUUCCAGAUCAUCCAACAGCACAGGAAUAUGAAGACUUGAGUAGUGGAUCUCCGGUAUCGUUGGUGGACGAACGUCCACUCCAACAUGGCGAUAGAAAGCCGCACGGAAUGUUGAACAAUUACGAGUUCGAGUUGCGUAGCCUUGCGAUUUAAAAUUGAAAUUUUCUCUACUUGAUAAAUUCAAGUGAGCAUUCGUUUGGAUCCUUGGAAUUAAAUUCUAUUCUAAUAAUUAUAAUUUAGAUAUAGUUAAUUAAGCUAAUAUAGUUAUACGUGGAAUAUAUUUGUAUAUUAUUAUUGGCUAUAUGGGAGAGAUACUUAUGUACUAUACUUCUGCUAUACUUCUGCUAUAAGAAAGCGAGUCGAAGAGUGUGCUAUAGGUUGUACAUUAGAAACAUAAUAUGAGAUCUACGGAAUCAAUUUUCAUACUCCACCCCCAUAAAUAUAAGAUAAACUUGUAUAUAUAUAUAUAUAUAUUGGUAAAUUGUGAAACGUCAUAUUCCAAGACAAAUAGUCUACUCAUAGAUUCUAAUUUCUCAAAAUGAAGAGAUCCAAACAGGAGGCACUAGAGAAUUUAACUUUCUUGUUUAUCUUAAUGACGAAAUAACAUAAAUUUUCUCUACUUGAAAAAAAGAACGGAAUGGUGGUUUAUCUUAAUGGUUCUGAAUUUUCGACUACCGGAAUAAGUUAACGUUUAUGAACUUUAUUAGAUUGCCAGUCAAAUAAAUUUCUGAGGUGGAAUAUAUGUAGCAAUUAAAGAAAGGAGAGAACGAAAAAUAAGAAAAUGGUAUGGCGUGCUCGAAACCGGGUUCGAAGAACAAGCGAGUUGCGCGUUGGGAGAAUCUAUCGUUUCUUCCCAACGCAUUUUCCUCGAUCUCCCGACUGCUGUGCCCGCCUCCGCCCUGGCGCAGGUGGCGCUCCAAGAGCCGGCGGCCCUCCAGACGUCGUUGCUGCCCGAGGUUUGCCCAACCCGGAAGGGCCCAGCGGCGGCGUGGUCAUCCCCUCCAGUCCGUCGAUACCGGCAGACCCUACCUGCGGCAGCGGCGGACAAAUCCACGAGUGGCGGCGCCUGGAGGCUGAACUAGCUGCGCGCGCUGUGCCGGACUGCCUGUGCGGUCGGCGCUGGCGGCUUGGGGUGCUGCAGUGCUGCUGCCUGAUAGCGUGCGUCCUAGCGGUGCGGCCUUGCGGCGCCGCGUCGGAGCGGGAGUGCGGCACGCCGGUGUGUCGCCGUGCGCAGGCGGAUUCCCGCCGCACACGCACUUAGAAGCAGCCAAGCAGGUCAGUCCUUGAUUGUUGAUUCAAUAUUCAGCAACGAACUCUACCAGUGGGACAUCAGCAGCGAGCCGAUUCAGCAAUCAGUUUCUUCCCUUUUCGUCUCCCCUCUACCGUAGUCAAAUAAUUGGAUUUCAUCCCCUUCCUAGUGUUCAAGUAAAUAAACGGAAUGAAGUAGAGUUAGCGAGUUAAUAGAAACAAUUAGUGCUACUGAUAACUGAUCUAAGGUUCCUCCUCUUCUUAGCUAGACAGGUAAUUUGCGAUCGCUGAUCCUUGUACAUGCAUGUUCGUAACUAUUUUUUCCCCUCUGCCAUAGACACUUAGCACUGGAGAAGGUUAUGUCUAAGAUAUUUAUUCUCUUCUCUCUCCUGUAGACACAACCCAUGGACACUUAGCAUUGAACCUUAUGACGCAGAAUAGUAGUAGUUUAGUUAUCAAGAUGAAUGCAUUAAUACUUAAUUGGUCCUUGUACAUGUAACCUGCCACUCAACUUCACUAGAUAGCGGAUGCCAUGCCAAGCUUUAUAUAUUGAUAUUCAAGUGAUUGAAUUUAGCCUUCUUGUUUAUGUGGCUGUUCAUAAUUUGGUUGCAUUGGUUAUUUGUAAAUUUAUUGUCGUAUAGUUUGAUUAUGUAUAUUUAUCUGCAGGACUUAAACAAUUGAAUAAAACAAGCCAUGCUCAAAAGCAUACAACACUGUUAUGAUCUCGGGCCAACAUAUCAACUUCUUCCUCCCCAAUUUGCUCCACGAAGGCUCUAGACACAUUUAUUUUUACCUAGGAGCAACAUGUACUGCUCCUCAACAGUUUUAUUAUUUUGGUUAGCUCUACCAUGAUCCCAUCCAGCAAGACCCUUACCCUUCUAAUAGCAACAUUCUCAUGUUGUCAAGUUGCCACAGCGUAAUCCAAUAGCUCAACAAGAAACAGAUAGAAGACCCCAACCGAUGCAGAACCAUAAUGAUGCAAAAUUUUAUUGUGUACUGUCCAUGCUCGCUAAAAUACAAGUCUUAUUAGAUCACAUUUCUCAUCAGACACAUUCUGUAACAACAAUAAUAGCCAGUCUGGACUAGAAUAAUAGCCAUAGGUCACCUCUUGCUCUUUUUUUAUAUAUAACUCUUGCUCGUAUCCUUUGUCUCCUCUCUGAUACCAUUGCAAUUCCAGGGUAGAAGGAGGAGGCACCUGCACAAUGACGAGGCAACAAGGGAUACCAGGAAGGGCAACCGGGCAACCUCUUGGGCCCUAGCAGUUUAUCAAUGGUAUUUGGAUAUUAGAGUAGGAAAGAAGUGGCAUUGGAGCAGUCUUCGAGGGCACAUCACCCGUUCUUGAGCAGGGUCUCGAGCGCCCCAGAGUCCAGAACCUUCUAGAAGCAUCAGGAUAGCUAGAGCAUCGCUCCAACCCUGGUGUCAACCAUGUCGGAGAAGCUGGCCCCCGAGAAGCGCCACGCCUUCCUGCACAGUGGUGAGCUGCCUCCCCCCCAUCUCACCUUCCAUGGUCUGCCUCCUCCAGGGCUGCCCCCACCCUUCUGACCUAGGAUUCGAUCCCCACCCCCCUUCCAUGAGCAGGGCAGAAGGUGUUCGAGUGGGACCAGACACUGGAGGAGGUGAACAUGUACAUUGAGCUCCCCAAGGGUGUGCCCACCAAGCUCUUCCGCUGCACCAUCCAGGCGGGCCAUGUGGAGGUUGGCAUCCGUGGCAACCCACCAUACCUCAACGUCAGUGCUUCUCCUCAAUCUCCCUUUGAGAUUUGGUUCCACUCAAUUACCUGCUGAUAUAUGUUUUUCCUUUUCCUCCUUGGACUCUGUGGCGUGUGGUUGGGGAUUGAUGCCCCUUUUUGGUGAUUUUGCAGCACGAUGUGGCGCACCCCGUGAAGACAGACUCCUCGUUCUGGACAAUAGGUGAGUCCCAAUUCCAUCACCUCUGCAAUUCUUGCUCUUCAAAAUUUAUCGUUUUCACUGAGUGUGGAUGUGUGAAAUGUUGUGGCCUCUGGAUCUAGACAUUGAUUUGUGUAUCAUUUCUGACAUCAUUUGAGGACAGUUAUUAAAACUUUUGUUCUGUUUAAUUCAUCUGCAAUGCAAGCUAAUUGCAUUUGGGGAUGACCUUUUGCUACAUUUAGCAAUCAAGAUGUUUCUGUGCUGUGGUGAAUUUUAGAACACCCAGUCGCUUGUGACUUGUUAGUGAUAGUAAUAUAGCAUGAGAUUGUUUUUUAUAUCGAUGCCGUAAGGAUAUUGUAACAAGAACCUGCAGCCACUCACAAAUAGUACUAUGGAGAUGUUUGUAUUGGCAUUUAAGUCAGCAGCACCUUUUCCCACUCAAAUAGUUAUUAACACGGAGGAUGGUGAUAACAAUACAGAGGAUGGUGAGAUGCAUAUCACACUGCAAAAAAGAGAGAAGGGGAAGACAUGGUCAUCUCCAAUACAAGGGCAAGGUCUCUUGGAUCCAUAUGCUGCAGAUCAAGAGCAAAAACGGCUUAUGCUGCAAAGGUUUCAAGAAGAGGUACACCCAACUUUUUGUACUAGCUGUGUUGAUGUGCAUCCCUUUUUUCAUAUAUUUGGUCAUGCUUUGCUGUUGGAUCCUAUUAUUUUCAGUUAAUUUAAGUGUUUUUAACUCACAUAUGAUCACCUGACUACUGACAUAUGAUCUGACAGCUUGAUGGGAUAGACAAAUAGUCGGAACAUAUUUUGUCUUUAGUAGUGUGCCCGUGGAAAGUUGAUACUUCAUCCCUUUCCCUAGACAAUGUACUUGUCAAAAUUACCCUGAAUGAACCAUUUUUAGGAUAAUAUGUCCAGGCUGUUGGCAGUUAUUAGCAUUUAGCAGUUUUGUGACUCUGAUUUUGUCAAACAUUGGAUAAAUGAGGCUUUUUGCAAGAUCCUUUUGAGAACUGAAACAAUGUGUAUUUCAAAAGAAAUUGGUUGAUGUGAUAAUCCAACAUGACGUGUUCUAGCCUUAUCAUAUGCGUUUUCAGCUUGAAUGUGCAUUUACAUUUUCUAAUUCCAUUAUUUACCCAUAUGUAGAACCCAGGGCUCUGACUGAAACGCCCAGCCUGAACGGCAUAAUUCUUGCUAUGUUCCUGCUGCUAUCCUCAGCAUCUUGUUAGAUGCAGCAGCAACUGGUUGGUGUUUACCCUUGAAAUAAUGAAUUAGUGAUGAUGUGUGACCCACCAUUCCAUGACUCUGUUUGUGACUUCAGUUGAUUGUAAAUAUCCCUGAACCGGGCAACCUGUGCUUGUUUACCCCCGAGCUGAUUAUAGCUAUAGGGUCAUCAUUCGGUGCCCGACUGCUCGUUGAUGAAUCAGUAUUUGGGAGAAUUGAUGACGUGGCAGUCUAAAUUGGCUUCCGGGAUGCUCUAGUGUCUUAAAUUUUUAAUUGCCAGCCGUUUGAUACACUCAUUCAUUCUUGCUUCUCUUGAUACACUCAAUUUCUGGGGUUACUCACUCCAGCUCUGUUCCCUUCUACCUUAUUUUUGUGCUCCUAGGUCCUUGCUCUUUAUAGCUCGCUGGCCCCGGCCAUAGGGUUUACAGCUCAUUAUUUUUUGAAUAAAACUACGACAACCCUGAGGUUGCCUGAACUUCAUUGCUUUUGGAGACAAAUAAUUACAAAGAUGACAAGGAACUUUCUUUUUUUGAACAAGACAAGGAACUUUAGAAGUAGCCAGAAGGACAGCGGGAAGAUGUGCAAAGGAAGCUAGAGAAAAACAGCUAGUCCUAUAUUACAUCGGGAAGAAAUUACUCCACUCUACUAAUUUUGCAUUAUCAGAAGGAGAAGAACAUCUGUUAGACCACAACGUUAGGUCGUCCCUACGUCUCCGAGAGAUCACCAAGUUUGUUUCAUCCUCAUGUCUAAAAACUUUUGCAUUCCCGCAUUUCCAAAUCUUCCAGAGUAUGCAUUUCCAAAUGUUUAAAGCUCAUUACCAUUCCCAUGCUGACAGUUAUGAACAUCGCUUUGUCCACGACUGGUCAUUCAGCCCCCGUGAGAUUCUGAGCUGGCCACUCUUACCUGUGUUUCCUGCCAGCCCUCCUUGUGGAGCAUGAACUCAUCAUCAUCCCUUCUCCCGGCUGGAUUGAAGCAAAUGAGCAGAACAUAUCUGCAGGAUGCAAUAGCCACAGUACAGCGCCCCAAUUCCGCGCUUGGAUUGUAGCAGCCACAGAAAGAUUUUACCAAGAAGAGCCGGCGGCUUGGCGACGACGAUGACCAACACUGCGGCGAACAUCAGUUUCUGCAACAGAUGGAGCCGACAGCUUCCGUUCCUGUCCCCCGCAGCAUCAGCCGCCAGCGAGCCCAGCCCCUCUCGCUCGCUUAUGCAACAGAUGGUAUGCAGCAACGAGAGAUGCUCGCCGCAGAUCCGGCCGGCCACCUGCAGCGACAUCGACGACUAGCGCGCUGCGAGGUCGGCUCGGCUGGGCGUGGCGCGUGGCGGCGGCGGAGGAGCGGGCCAAGGAGAAACGGACGCGGCAGGGAGAUACGACGGGCGUUGGGGACGAGCGGAGGUCCGGGGGAGGAGCGCAAGCCCGUUACCGACGUCCAGGCGAGGCCGCCGUCGCCGGAGCCGGGCGGGAAAGGCAGCUACUGGGAGGCAGGACUGCAGGAGGGGCUAUUUUGCAAAUAAGUUGGAUCGUGUUUGCACAUAACCCCUCAGGGGGGUAAAUGAAACUUAAUAAGGGGUUUUAUGUAAUUAAUUGGAUCGGGAUCAAUAAUCGCGAUCCGGUUUAGGGUGUUUUAUGCAAAGUAUCACGUCCCCGUCCCUAUCGACAUGGCCGGCUCCGAGCUCCCCGAACCCGCCGCCUCUGCUUCUCUCCCCGCUGGCAGGAGCAUCGUUUCCCCGUCCCCAAGCUACCCGUUCGCACUCUGAUGAGGAGAAGCAAUGAGACGAGACCGUCGACUUGUCUCGAUCCACCGCCCCGGCCAUGGAAUGGAGACCGUCGUCUUCGUCGACGGAUCGGACUCCCGCUAAGCCGCUCGCCGACCCUGCGGGAUUGCCGCUCCGGCUCCGGCCGAGCGGUUCCUGGUCGUCGCUUCUUCCAAUGUAUCAGUGACACCAUUCUGAAUUUCUGAAUUCUGAUUGAACUCGUCCCGUCCAUGCAUGUCUCCAUCAUCGGCCAUCGCUCAGCUUGUCUCCCGCCGCCUGAACCGCACCACGCCACCACGAGCGCACGCAGUCCACUGCUCUAUAUAUUCGCGCGAUCGCCGCCACGUACUCGCUCGUUCGCCCGCUCGCUCACUGCGCCGCCCGUCCACCCGCCCCUCCUUCGCCCUCUCGAUCGUCGUAGCGCGAUCCAUCGAGCUCAUCGCCGGCCAGCUCCAUUGCCCGCGCCAUGGCGGCCGCAGCUGCGCGUUCCACUCCGCCGCGGCGUGUCCCGGCGCCGCAGGUGGCCCUCGUCAUCCUCCUCCUCUUCGUCGUGCUCGUGUGCGCGCCGUGCGGCGCCGGCGCCAGGCCAGUGCGCGAGGGGGUGCGUAGCCAUACAGAUAAUGCGCGGGCGCGGACGUCGCCGGCGCUCGACGUCGGUCGCUGGGCGAGCGGGAGCGUGGCUACGGGGGCGGGGGCGCACCGGGUGGCCACGGUCGGCGGCGGCGCUCCCACGCCGCCCUCCGGCCCGUCGCAGAACCACAAUUGACCGGUGGUGCUCACCGAGCUCGCCGCCGCCCUGGAGAUCAAGAUUUCCGGCUGUCCGCUCCAGAGCAUCAUCAACAGAUACCUGGUUUAUCCUUCCUUGAAAAUGCCGGUGUUUAACUAGUUUCAACGUGUAAAUCAGCUGCCUUUGUCCACGUCAUUAGACAGUAGAUGCGUGCUAUUUAUUACUCAGUCUGCAGUUAUAUAUAGGCCAGUGGCCAGAGCAGGAUUUGAUUCGACUAAGUUUUGUUCAACCUAUCGUGCCAGUGUUUCUUUCAUUCCUCUUUGCAGUUUAAGCAAAAAAAAACUCAGUUUUUCGUCAUAUUUUGGUAGUUGUUCUUGAUGGAGUAUAGUUGUUCAGUUAAGAACUUAAGAUGUGGCGUGCUACUAUAGACAGCAGCUGACUGCGUCUCAGCUCAGCUCAGUCUCUCUCUCAUGCAUCGUUCAUGCAGUCAGCCGGUCAUGGACUGUGCUAUGGAGAUCAACCCUACGCCAGCAAACCAUGUUGCCGUGUUGGUGCUACGGCCCCAAUGGCCAGGCAGUGUCCGUGACGGAUCUCACCUGCUCCCACUCACCAACACCGUGCAUGCAUUUGCAGUGGAUGCGUCAUCUGAGACCAAUUCCCAAACUGAAAACUUCAGCUGCCGUGGAAUUUCAAAGGCCGAUCAUCCUCAGUACAGAAUCCACUACGGCUACGGUGCGUACAAGUCCUAUACAAGCCGUAGCUUCUUUGUGCAGCAGAGGAUCAUACCCUGGCGGAUGGAUUCGCUUGAAAAAUGACCUGUACAACAGCAGCUCCAAGCUUGAUAUCCAUCUGAAGGGUAGACUUGCAAAUUGAACUUUGCAUUUGCCUCCAGUUUGCAUCAGUUCCUGGGUGCGGUGCGGCGCAUGAUGCAGCAUGCUAAAAUUGGAAACCGCGGUGUCCAAGAUUAGAAGCUUCAAAGCCGUGGUUGACCUUGAAACCAUGGCGACGGGCGUUCCUGGGGGGACACGGACUCGCGCCCGGGAGAGGACACGACGACCGGCACGCGUCCUACGAUUUAGGACGGGACCGCCGCACCACUCGCCGGGCCCUUCACCGGUUUAAGUGCUCGCCGCUCCCGCCCUGACGCAUUCUUCCCCCCGCCACGCAAGGACGAACAGGAGGGGCCCACACCUCCUGACGCCCCCUUCCCGCCGAGAGAGUCGUCGAUCGAUCGACCGGCGGACCGGUUUGGUUCCGCCGCCGCCGGGGCCGGGCACAAUGGCGGGAGCCGUGAUCGUGCACCACACCACGAGGUACAAGACGUACCCCGGCGAGAUCACCGGCAUCGUCGUCUUCGCCUGCCUCAUCGCCUCCGUCGCCGGCUGCAUCUUCGGCUAUGACAUCGGCCUCACCUGUGAGUGAGCACCAUGGCAUAGAUAGGCUAGAAUGCCAAAUCAGGGGAUUGCUCUGCUCUGACGGGGGGUUUCUUUGCUUUCUGCUGUUGUUGUCGCCGCCGCCAUGGUGAUCGUGCAGCCGGGUUGACGUCGACGGAGCCAUUCUUGGUCAAGUUCUUCCCGUCCAUCUACGAGGAGACGAAGAAGCAGGUGGUCGUGAACCAGUACUGCAAGUUCGACAGCCAGCUCCUCACGCUGUUCUGCUCCUCCCUCUUCCUCUCCGCGAUGACCGCUGCCUUCUUCGCCGGCCCCUUGACCCGGGCCUUCGGCCGGAAGUGGACCCUGUUCACCGCCGGGUCCGCGUACGUGUGCGGCGCGGUCCUCGGCGGCGUGUCCGUCAACUUCCCGAUGCUGCUCACCGGCCGGAUCCUCGUCGGCGCUGGCGUCGGGCUCUCCAUCCAAGCGUCCCCCCUCUACAUCUCGGAGAUGGCGCCCGCGCAGCAGCGCGGGAUGCUCAACAUCAUGUUCCAGCUGAUGAUCACGGUGGGGAUCCUGACGGCGAACAUGACCAACUACUUCGCGUCCAAGAUCCCCGGCGGGUGGGGGUGGCGCAUCGCCGUGGCGUUCGGCGCCGUCCCCGCCGGCGUCAUCGCGCUGGGCUCGCUGGCCAUCCCGGACACCCCGACGUCGCUCAUCCAGCGCGGCGACACCGCGACGGCGCGCAAGACGCUGGCCCAGAUCCGGGGCGUGGGCGACGUCCGCGAGGAGUUCGACGACCUGUCGACGGCGAGCGAGGAGGCCAAGGCCGUGGAGAACCCGUGGCGGGAGCUCUUCUUCGGCGGCAAGUACAAGCCCCAGCUGACGUUCUCGCUGCUCAUCCCCUUCUUCCAGCAGCUCACCGGCAUCAACGUCAUCAUGUUCUACGCGCCCGUGCUGUUCAAGACCGUCGGGUUCAAGCAGAACGCCUCCCUCGUGUCCUCCAUCAUCACCGGCCUCGUCAACGUCUUCUCCACCUUCGUCGCCGUCUUGACCGCUGACAAGGUCGGCCGCCGCGCCCUCUUCCUCCAGGGCGGCACGCAGAUGAUCAUCUCCCAGGUCGGCCGGCCGCUGCUCAUCUUCUUCUUCUUCCCUCCCGAGCUUGCCCAUGAAUGUGUCUGAAUGCGUUAUUCUGUAUCUGAUGCCGUCGCCAUGAUCCAAAUUCUUGCACGCAGAUCCUGGUGGGCACCUUCAUCGGGCUGCAGUUCGGCAUGAGCGGGACGGGCGCCAUCUCGGAGCAGUAUGCCAUGUGCAUCGUGCUGUUCGUGUGCGUGUACGUGGCCGGGUUCGCCUGGUCGUGGGGCCCCAUGGGGUGGCUGAUCCCCAGCGAGAUCUACCCGCUGGCGGUGCGGUCAGCGGCGAUGAGCGUCACGGUGGCCGUCAACAUGUUCUUCACGGCCUUCAUCGGGCAGAUCUUCCUGACGCUGCUCUGCCACCUCCGGUUCGGGCUCUUCUACUUCUUCGGCGGCUGGGUGCUGCUCAUGACGCUCUUCAUCGCCAUGCUGCUGCCGGAGACCAAGAACGUGCCCGUCGAGGAGAUGGCGCACAUCUGGAAGAAGCACUGGUUCUGGAGGAAGUUCGUCGUCGACACCUCCCCCGACGCGCGCAGCGCCGAGAUGAGGAAGAGGAUAGCGCUAGAGAUGAGCUAGCUGAUGAUGAGGCCGAGCAAAGCCUCGUCAUCAGCCAAGUACAUUUGAUGGAUCGAUAGAUAGAGUGCAGAACACACAUGAAUGUUGUUGUAGAUUUGAUCAUACAUACUCCUAGCACAUCUUGUACUAACUAAACUGUUUUACCUUCUCUCUUUUUUUCUUCGGUUUCAUGUGCCGAGUUGUCAGCAGCAUUUUUUUUCUUUUUAAUUGAAGAAGAAUACAGAACGAUUUAUCAUCCAGUAAUCUCACGUGGAGUGUGCUACUGUGAUCACAAUGAUCGUUCUUCUUUAAGCAUCACUUUUAGUAGUUCCCACUUAUCAUCCAGUACAAUUGAAGUCCUUUUCUGUUCACUUUCCCUUUUCUCUACCUUUUUCUAAGUAUUUAAAUUCCUUUCUUUUUCUGUUCACUUUCCCUUUUCAAGAUUCUUUUAGGCAAAACUAGCUAAGCCAGCCUACAAGGAAUUAGGUGGAUCCAAGAUCCAUGCUACGAAGAAGCAAAGCACCCAAACUCUCUUGUCAGUUUCAAGAUCUUGACUUUCAACCAGCAAUCCGCAUACAAAACGCACAAAGGGAAAUGAGUACAAAUGAGGUCGUAGCAUCAGGUUUCGGCAAAAUUUGUAGCAGAAGCGCUAACCUUGCCGAUCCUGACUUUCAACUAGCAAUUGACUUUCAAGAUCCUGACUUUCAACUAGCAAUUCACGAACAAAACCCGAAGGGGAAAUUAGUGAUCUGGAUGAGUACUCACAAAACGCGCAGGUAACUUAAAUUUCACACACACAAGUACGUGUUCUUAGAUUACAGGGAUACUCUGCUGCUCCAAACACCACUCUGGGACUUGCUAUUUACAGAAAGCUCUUAGCUAUGGCUUCCAGCAGCUCAGACCCAAACUGACCGACGCGACGACGACGAGCAGUCGAGCAAACAGCAGAGUGGUGCAAGACAACAGCAGCAAGCAACAACCAGUGGUGGUGGUAGUACUAUGGUACAGCACAGUACAGAUCCGGCCGCCGGAAGCACGCCGGAACGCCGCGGGAGCUCGCCGACCGAGCAGAGAGAGCGUAGCAUCACUUGGGCCCCCAGAGCAGCAGGUGCAUCACCUUGGCCGUCUUGCCGUGGUCCUCGCGCCCGCCGCGCCGCCCCGGCUGCGGCUGCUGCUGCCGCCCCGCCGCCACGCCGGCGUCGCGCGCCGUCAGCGCGCGCCGGAGGGCCGCGAGCUCCGGCCACCUGCUCUCCCGGCCGCCGCCGCCGCUCAUGGCUCCUGCCGCAGCUGCUGCGCCACCGUAGCACCUCUCGGCUCUCGGCUUCUGCUACAAACAAAUCAUGCCGUUAGCAGCUAACUCUACUCACCAGCACCCACCAGGCCGGCCACUUAUAUAUAGCGGCGAGGAGCCGGCGGCGAGCCUGCCAGCGAAGACGUGACGUGUCCAGACUCCAGCGGAGGGCCCGGCGCGGCAGCUGGGGAUAAGCGGUAACAAAUAUCGCGCCGCGUUCUUAUCAAAAGAAAAAAAAUAUCGCG